RNAcentral lists this long non-coding RNA (47032 nucleotides) under Phoenix dactylifera (date palm). RNAcentral's name for it is "long non-coding RNA (PDAC_LNC002356)". The record is from RNAcentral. Lineage: Eukaryota; Viridiplantae; Streptophyta; Magnoliopsida; Arecales; Arecaceae.
GUGUUUCAGGUGGAUCUACUAUUUUAAUUUUGUAAAAUGUUUAGGCUAUUGUUUAUAACUAAUGGAAAUUUCUUUUUGAUUGAUAUCUGUAAGAAAUUUUUGAGGACUGAAAUUUAUGAAUUAGACUUGUAAUUAUCAUCGGUGCAACCAAGCAUAUAUGCGUGCACAUGUAUAUGGAAAAUUUCAUAAAUUUCACGAGGUCAUAUAAAACUAGAGAUGUCAAUGGGCCAGGUUAGGUCACAUCUUAAUUCAGCCCGGAAUUAACACUAAAGGCCUGAUCCCCAAGUGGCCCCAACCUGGAUCGAGGAUCCCUGGCUAUAGACUGACUAAGAACCAGUCAAUGUUUUGGGCUGGACCAAAGCCGAGUUGGGUUCCAGGCCUGACCCAAGUUUUUAGGCUUUCUAAUUUCCAUCUUAGUUAGAUGUUACGCCCUAAAACGACAUCGAGCCAGGACUUUUUGGGGUGGGGUCAGCUCAUCGGCUGCUAAGGCUGGCCCUCCCCAUUGACAGCCUUAGCAAAAGCAAUUACAAAUUGAUGAUCAAUUGGCAUAGUAAGUUGAGCAGGGAUCCUAUGCUGCAGUGCACGCGUAACACCGCAGAGUGUUGUACAGCCGUAGAUGGCCACCACCAAGAGAUGACGGCUAUCAAACAAUCCAGUCCACGAGCGCACGCUGCGUCAUACACGGUGCACAUUAUUUGAUGGUUGUCCAUCUUCUGAUGGUGGAUGGCCAUCCAGAGAUGCAUAGCACUUUACACUUUAUAGUGCACAAGCUGCCUUGCAGAUUUAAGUUGGUUUCUUAAAAUUUCUCAACCUGAUUGGUCGCGAACUUGGGAACUGUCUCCGAAUUUCGGCAUGUAGACAUUCAUUGUCCAACAUCAUCACAGGAUUUCUGCAUUGUUGACCAAAGGAUCAAGGAUAUCUAUCAGACAUUAUUGCACUAUGAAGUGUAAAGAAUUGAAGUAGUCUUGUGCACCACUAGGAUGAUGAUGGGAAGACAAAAGAUUAUAACGGGGCGGAAUUCAUAGGUGAAGUUUUAUACAAAUAAUCAGAUUUAGAGAUCUGGAUGGUUGCGACAAUGCAAUCUAAGUAUAUAAGUUACAAAUUUUUAUUUAACAAGCAAUUCUCAUUGCUACCCAUUUUCCUUUUGUUUGUUGCCUUCCUUCUUCCUUUUGCUGUUACUAGUUAUCAUAGAAUCAUUACAAAGCUUGAGCCUAUUCACAGCAGAAUCACUAGUUCAUCUCCAAUAUGCAUGCAACAUUUUUGAGAUGGGAGUCUUGGAGAUAGAAGUAUUGAUAGAUUAUAAUGAUGGCCAAGCAUAAAGUCAGAUCUCAUACAAUAUAUUUGAUGCUCGCAUUAAACUAUUGUGUAUAAAAGUGUUGCAUGAUUUGGUGAAAAACUAAUAUGAAUUAAAUUAGUUUGAAAGCAAUAUGGUGUGAAACAAGUAAACUAAAAAGACAAUGUUGGCAUUUAUGUGUGCUUAAAACAACUAUGGAGCUUCGCUAGUACUCAAACUGGUUUCAAUCAUCCAGAAGACAAACGCAGCUAGCCUUCCAUCACAAACGUCAGCAAAGCCACUGGUUCUCAAACCGUUUCUUUUGCUCGAGCACCAAGCUCUUUUGUCUCUUUCUGGGUGGGAGGAUCCCCUGGAAAAAAUCCAAGACCAUGUAUUCUGUAGACUCUUUUUUGCAGGUACUUUAACCUUCUAGGUCAAUCUCUGGUUGACCUGGUUGCUUUCUCAAUUCAUCUCUCAGUGUAAUGUGGGUGGGUAAUCCCCCCACUGUUUUGACUUAAAAAAAACUUAUUAUGUUCUUUUGUUCUGCGUGCGAACCUCUUGAACCAAAUCCACUUCAAUGUGAAUUCUUAAUCAGGUUGGGCUAAUAAAUAUAACAUUGGGUUGGAUUUGUGUUCAAAUUAACUUCCAACUAGGUCACAUUAAUUCAAGUUGAGUACUGCUUCAAAUUUUUAAAUGGGGAACCUAGCUCCACCCAUGUCGAGCUUAACUCAUCUUUGUAGUUGGAUUCCAAAUCCGGUCGGUCUAAACUUGAUCUAUAUUUCUACAAUUAAGGUCCAAAACCAUCCACGCUUAAGUUUUAUUGGAACCAACCCAACACAACCCGAGUUGACCCAACCUUUCAUAAGGUGUCAUGGGAUUGAAAAAUUUUGGAGUUAGUUUAAUUUGGCCGGGUUCUUUCUUAACUAGAUUAGAUGAUAGGCUUGGGUUGGCCCUCAAGUCAACUUAAUCUAUUCUUACAUUUGGCAGCAAUGACUAUCUUGAUAUUCUAAGCUGUUGUUUUAAAGUUUUGUUGGUCGACUGGAAGCAAUUGUCCUCAAAUAAUUCCAUGUUUAGAUGUAGCAAAUAAUAAUAAUAAUAACUGCAAAUUCUGGCAGCGUAACGCCAUUUCCUUUACCAUCGAAAAUACUAGUACAAGAACUUCACGAAAACACCAGGGCAAAAAUACUAUGGUAGCUUAGGUCUCGCGUGGUGGCCCAAACUGCUAGUGUGAGGGUGCAGGUUUGAGAUUGACUAAUCUAAGGAAUAACCUUCAGGCUAAGUCCCAAAAAGAAAAAGGAAAAAAAAGCUAUUAGGUGUCGUGAAACAUUGGUGCUUUAUGCUAUAGAUUUAUUGUGUAUUAGCACUAGAUGGCAUUUGGUAUGGGAGAUGAGCCCAAGAUCAAUAGUGAUAUGGGUGAAGGUGAUGAGAACACCGUGUUUGGUUGCAUCUCGGCAAUGCUACAUAACAGUGAUCCCAAAUCACUUCUGCUCCUAAAAUUACCAUCCAACCCACUGAUGCUAAACCUAUCCUUGAGGUGUGUAUUUCUAGGAUCACCACAGGAUAGUGAUGUUGAACUAAAAUUUAGGGACAAAAAUACCCCUCAGUCCAUCAAGAAAAUUUAUUUUCAAAAAUACCAAUCUUUAGGAAAAAAAAUUCUUCUAGAUGGGGAGGGUUUGAUAAUCUUAUAAAAAAUUUAAUUCUACUAAUUGGAAAGGUUUGAUAAUCCCCUGAAGUUGCUAUAACUAGUUUUGAUUAAUUUUUCAUUUUACUGAAUUAGUCUGGAAUGACAGAUUUUGAUAACUUUAUUUAUGUUCAUGCGUGUUUUCCUAUAAUUUAUUUGAGAAUUAUGUUUAAUAGUUGCAAAAUAUAUGAAAUAAAUUAGUAAUAAUUUUUAUAUUACAUGAUCGGUGAUCUGGGAUUUCUAUAGCAUACCAAACAACAUAAUUAUAGAUCCUCCGAAAUCUUUGAUCACUGAAAUAUAGCAUACCAAAUAUGGAAAUCUUAGAACAUCGAGGAUCAGUUUGUCCCGAGAUAAGAAUCAUAAGUGAUCUAAGAUCACUAUAGUGAUCCAUUUAGGCUACUAAAGGCCACCGAACUUGCGUAUUGCACCAAUUCUCUCAUUUUUUUAGUUUCUUGCAUUUUUCUUGGAUUUCUUGAANNNNNNNNNNUUUCACAUACGCAAUCACAAUAAUAAUUUCUCUAUCCGACAGAAGUGCAAUAGUAGAUCGUAUGUCGUACGACAGACUACCACGUGCAUUACAGAAUCUAUGGUAGCCACAAUCCAUAAUUUAGUUUCCAUGCGUCAUAGAUAUAUAAUUUCUUGUCGUACUCGAUCAUUACAUAUGCGAUCGCUUUAAUAAUUUUACUAUAUUAAUUCUACCUAUCUAAAUGAUGAAUCGAAUAUUAGAUUGUUCGUUAUGCAGCUAUCUACCAUAUGUGCCGCAAAAAUUGUGGCGGUGCCGAUGGUGCACAGUUUAUAAUAUAUCUUCGGUACAUCUAGGGCAAUACAUGGUUAUGCUUAAUAUUUUGUGCAAUCAAUAUGGUGAUUUUACUAGUUGUAAUUCUUCUUCACAUCCAAGAGAUUGUCUUAGAUUGAUAAAAAUGAAACUACUUGCAUUGGAACAAUUCCAUGAAUUCAUAAAAAUAAUUAAAAGUAAAGGCUGAAAGGAAAAUUAUUCCAUUGGUUGUCCAUUUUGAGCAACCACCUGCAUUAUGUCCAUGCUAUCUUUUGGCGACAGGUGUAGCCGGAGCGGUUUCAUGCAGAAUUCACAGGUAGUCGUCUUCUUCCCACAUUCAUAACUAGCACUCGCCUCCCCCUCUACCUUCGCCUCUCCCCCUUCUCUCUCUCUCUCNNNNNNNNNNNNNNNNNNNNUCUCUCUCUCUCUCUCUCUCUCUCUCUCUCUCUCUCUCUCUCUCUCUCUCUCUCCCCUCUCCCUCUCCCUUUGAGAGCAAUGGAGUUCGUUCUCGAGAACCCCCUCAUGUUCUCCGAUGAGGAAGCACUGCACCCGGACUCCAUCUCCAGCCUCUUCGCCGCCGAAAACAAUUGUCUGAUCGCCCAUCACGGAAAUAUUACUCUCUCUGCUCGCCGUGACGCCGCCUCUCUCGCCCAUGAGGUAAUAACCAAACACACUCCAUCUCCGGAUUCCUCGAGUGAAUUCUCUUAAUAUUCCUCUUCUCAAUCGCAGUUCUCUCCAAGUUUGGGUCGGUCGGUGAUCUACCUCGCCAUCAACUACAUCGAUCGCUUCCUCUCCAAACGAGAUAUCCCGGUAAACCCCCAAAAAUCCAAGAAAAGAAGAGAAUAUCCUUCGAAUUUGUUUCCGAACUCUGAAGAUCUUCUUUUUCUUUCGCUUCCAGCUGGUGAAGCCGCGGGUGGCAUCUCUCCUCGCCAUUGCCUGCCUCUCUCUCGCCGCCAAAAUGACGAAAAGCGGCUUCUCCCUUGAAGAUCUCCAGGUAUCGCCGAUUACUUUCUUGAAAUCAAUAUCGUUCGCUCCUUGAAUCGAUAUUCUUGUAUGUGUGUAUGUUUGUUGUUUUCAAAUGGAUCAGGGAACGGACGAACAACCUCAGUUCGCUACGGCGACGAUCGGGUUAAUGGAGAUGGUGGUUCUAAGCGCCCUGGGUUGGCGAAUGCGAUCUAUUACCCCUUUCGCCUUCCUUGACUUCUUCCUCCAUUCCUUCCCGCUCGCCGAUGCCGCUCCCCGCCAAUCUCUCAAGGAUCGAGCGUCCAAAACCCUCUUCCAGGCUCAAAAUGGUAACCGUCUCGAUCGCCGAUCCUUUCUGGCCAGUUUUCUUGUUUAAGGAUUAAUCUAAUAUUUAUGUUAUUCUGAGUUUUAUAGAGGGAAAGUUCUUGGAGUUCAAGCCAUCGGCGAUCGCCGCGUCGGCGCUGCUCGCCGCCGCCUUCAAGCUCUUUCCGACCCACUUCCCCUCGUUCCGCUCCGCUGUACUCUCCUGUGAAUUCGUUGACGAAGUACGCCGACUUUCUUUUCACAAAAAUCGAGGCGAGGCGAGAAGAGCAGUUUCUUUCUGUUUGUUUCUGAUUUAUUGUUUGUUUUGUUUUAUUCUUGCCGUUGAAGGAAAACUUGUCGGCGUGCUGCGAUGCGAUGCUGGCAGCGGCGACCGACGUCGGCGGCUCGGAUAAGGCCGGAAAGAACCCGGGCUCGAGUUCCGACUCGCCGGUGACCGUGCUGGGCCGCCGCGACUCCGAGAACGGGAGGGCCGUCGGAUCCUCUGUGGAUGAUCGUGAUGCUAAGAAGACCCAUCUCGCCUAGAUUUCCGGCUGAGCCGCCGCCGCUAUCGGGCUUCGCCGACGACCUAAAGAGACGAGAGCUUUUUUUUCUUUUUUUGAGGGGGGGAGGGGAUAUAGAAAUAAAAGCUUCUAUCGGGUAUUUGAUAGCAAGUGCAAUAUUGCGAAAAAGGGGAAAAGAUCUUUUGGAUUUUUAAAUAAUGGUAUUUUGAUAAUGCAAUUAGUUUCAUCAACGAGGUGUACGGAUCCGGUACGUGGCGUGCCGCAAACGACCUCACGUGUGGCCGUGGAUGAGCUGUGGGGUCCACGGGACAAGAAAGUGCCGGCGAUCUUCUUUUUUUUUGAAGUGUCGGCAAAAGGUCGUCUCCAAGGUGUGGGCCCGAACGUUGACUCGCGUGUCAAACAAUUAAAUGAAAUUCACAACAAAAUUCGGGAGAGGUUAGCGUAAGAUACCAAAAAUCCGGUAUUUAUUCUUUAUUUGACAAAUAAAUCUACCGUUUAUUCAUUAAGAAAUAAAUGGUAAUUACUGGGAUUUGAGCUGCUUCCGCUGCUACUUUUCCUAGAACUCCAAUACCUCUUCCUAAUGCUCAUGACCCAAGUGAUCAUGCAUGAAUUUGUUCAUACCUUAAAAAGGACACAAGGAUCAUGUCACGAUGAGACGAUCAUUUGCGUCUAAAUUCUAUUGAGCCUUUAUAGGCAUCAUUUGAGAUUCCAUAUCAAAUGAGUUGAUCUCCAAAAUGAUGGCCCCAAAUCGAUUCAAUAUGAGACUUCAUUACUGGUUUGGUUUAACAUUGAUCAAGCACCAACCAUGGUAUCUUAAUGUUUGUUUUAUUGAGUGGAAACCGAGAAGGCAUGUAGAGUUAACCAUGCCUUCAUUCAUGGAGGGCUAUCCUUUCACUCCCAGUCUCCCUCAUCACCCAACCCUAUCUCUAGUCGGAUCACUAGAUUAAAGUUUUUUUUUUUUUUUUGUCUGCCAUGAUAACGAUGAUUCUCAAAAACAGUCCAUAAGAACAGUCCAGCCCUAAUCUACUUGUUUUGGUUCCGAGGAAACAAUCUUAUAAGAUCGAUCUCUGGAGGAUCCUUUUCUCCUCUACCAAACUAGAGAAAAAGUUUUGAUAAGAGGGAUGCAACGAGAUCCUUUCCUCCACAUCCCAUCUCUCACUCGCUUUUUCCCCCCAUUUUUAUAAUUCAAUAAUCUUUACAUUCAAGAUACUUUCUAUUUGAAGAAGGCAAAUUCACUUUGACAAAAUAAUGUUCAUCCAUCAUGUUCGGGGUCGAGGGCUUAAAGCAAACUAACUAUAUAUGUACGUAAAAAUAAGUAGAAUAAUCAAAACAUGUAAAAAAAGUAUUUGUUUUAUCGAAGCUUUGCACGAGUAGCCUCUCAAUGAAUCUGAUGCUUCUUAUUUUUUGUAGUUAUGUUAUCUUUUAUUAUUAGACAAUUGCAAAGCUUGGCAUUGUACUUUAACUAUAUGCAAAAUCUAAUAAUGAUAUGCUUGCUCUCAAAGGUUUGCACAUAAAUUUCUUCUAUCAAACUAGACAAAAGAAUUAGGUAAAAGGUGACCAAUGCUGUGAAGUCCAGUGCUAUAAAUGCAAUCUUCAUCUCUUCUUCCGUAAAUUUACCAUUUGAUGAAUUUAGCUUGCCGUACAACUACUCACCCCAUGCAUUACAUUAAUCACAGCAGUAAACAUUUACGUACUUAAUCUUCAAAUAUUGCAAGCAACUAGUGUCAUUGGCAAAUCAAACUAUGUAUCCUGCAUCAAUAUAAGAGACUCUACCAGCUAAUCCCCUCCAAUUAGAGAGAAUCUGUUCAUAGUUGCCUCCUCUCCAUCUAGGAAAUGUUUGUCCCUGCCUCCGCCAAUAAAUUGAAUAAUGACAGAUUGUUCAUUAUGCAGCUGCCUAUAACAUGUACCAUAAGUCAUGGAAAUAUAAAAUCAUUACCACAUUUGGUUUGGGAAUGAGAAAAUUGGAAUUAAUAGUUGCUCCAAAAAAUUAUUUUCUAUUUCGCUUUGUCUACAAUAUCUGGAUCAACUCUAGGCUGAUUGCACGUUUACGAUAAUAUUCGGAACAACUCCUAGCUAGGUAAGGGUGUUAUCAUCCAAAAAGGACUUUACUUACAUAAUGCUGAAGGCAACAUGAUGGACUCUCCGAAGGACUUGUGAGUUGACCAACUAUGGACAUAAUUCAGCCUACCAGCUGGUCUCCUUCAAUCAAGAUAUCGUACGCAGAGAAAGGUCUAUAAAUAGCACCAUGCGAAAAGAUCGCCCGUCGCACAAGGCGAUGAUAGGCGGGCAAUACAGGAGAAUUACUCAUUUAUUUAUCCUCAAAAAAUGCACCUGGAAACUGACCUUAGUGUGGUAGAUUAGCUGCAUGGGUUCGGAGGUGAACCCGAGAAGAUUUGGCAUGAAGCCAUACGAAACAGUAGAGAACAGUCUUUGGAGACCAUGAUUAAAGGAAACAAAUAAAUAUCCUGCAGUGGGGCAUCCUCCCCCUAUUAGAAUGGUAAAUAUAAUGUUUGUUUACCAAACCCACCGUAAUCGUCCUUCUCCUUGUGCAGAAGAAGAUUCCAGUACAAAGAGUGGGGUGCAAGCACUGAAAUCACAGCCAGCGAUCUGGCUUCCCAGGUACGUCGGAUGUUGCUAGUACUAGCAGGGAUUUAAUGUCCCAUGAAUCAGAGCAUCCCCAGUUAAAGACUCAGCAUAACAGAUGAUGGGAUGCUCGUCAAGACACAGUAUGAAUCAAGCAUUUAGGGACGAGUAUGAAUCGAGCUUCUAGGACACCCCAAACCAGAAAACAAACAAACAAACAAAACAAAACAAAACAAAACAUAAACCAACGAACUGAGAGAGUUCAAACGAUUUGGAUCAUCAAACCAUCCGGUCUAACUAGCUAGAUCAUUUCUCAGUUAUCCCAAUUUUUUCCUGUCCGAGUACUGAAGCAAACCUCAAAGGUGCGAUCGGAUAAAUUUAAUCGACUAAUCAUAGAUCCAACCACAACGAAAAUAUGAUCUUCUGGAUCUUGCCACUAUUCAGAUCCAAAUUCCAGGAAAGCUGAAUUCGAGGUAAAGCUAUCCGCCUCUAUUGAAGCCAGAUGGAUGUGAAAAUUGCUUUAGCAUAUUUAACCCGUACAAGCGUUCCUUCAGAGCACUUAUAUGGAAACUCAUUUUGAGAAAGCAUAAGCAAUCCUACACAAGAAGCUAUUAUGAUUCACGCUUGAAAGCUUUCUUUUGAAUACUUUAAUGAAGUACAUCAGCACACCGCAUAAUCAUGUAGGACUCUGUAGUAGAAAGACUGGAAAUAAACACAAUUUGUGAAGUGAGAAACUCAUGAAAUAGUAGAUCCGGAGAAUCAUGCUAUGGACUCCUAAUUCAAAAAGAACAAAAGGAACAGCAUUCCAGAUGACUAGAUUCUGGGUGACUGUAAGAUCUCUAGCUUGAUAUCCAAGAAUGCUGUAAUGGAACAUCCAAAUAUCAUAGUGAGAAACUCAUAAUAACAUUGUGAUCAGUCAUUUUAGAACUUAAUACAAGCAUGAUGUCAUUUCACAAAGCCAAAAUUCCACAUUGCUAGAAAUGCAUAGACAUAGUGAUCCAAUAAAUCCUUCAAGAAAAUGAAGUCAGUGAUCAGUGUUACUAGUCUUCCUUUUCAUUCAACCAAUGCAAUGGUUCUUUUUCCUCAGCUGGGUUAGCAUAGGACAGGAUCUAUAGAGGCAGGUAACAUCUGUUCACAGUAUAAUUGCAAAUGUAACCAUGACUACAAGCAACAAGUCCUGCUAACUUCUAUGAAUUCCGUAGUCUGAUUAACUAUUAAUCACCAACUGCUUAAAACCAGAUUGAAUAUAUCAGCAAAAAAGAUGUCAACCAAUUAAGCAAAGUUUUGAUGACAGAAGGUUUUAUUACUCCAAAGGAGAAUGAUGCAUCGGGACUUGUUCGCUGGGAAAUGAUAGCACAGGGAGGAGAUUUUACCUAACAUCACCUGUCAUUUUAAGUGAAUUUCAUCUCCUCUACCGUUGCUAAGAGUUUAGCUGCUUAAAGAUUUCCAGCAGUCAAUUUUGUUCAGUUUAGCUGUCUAUCCUCUCAAAGAAAUAGAGGUACCCCAUGUCCUUUGGUGGGUUGACCGAUGCACCAACCUUGCUGUCAUUGAAGAUUACCCAUCUUCCAUCUUUAUACACGUGGGCCACAUAGUGCCCACAUUGAGUGGAGGUACCCAUGUGGCUAACCAGGGCCAUAAGCUUGUAUCCUGCAAGAAAAAAAAAAUCUUCGUUAAAUCUUGAAUUAGGACAAGCAUGGUUGAAAGGAACUAUCAGAAAACUCAUCCUUCUAAAGAUGAAUACAUUUCAUCCAAGAAGAAGCAAUAAAGAGUUCACAAGAUAAAAGUGUAACACUAUGGACUCUAGGGAAAGUAUAAAAUACAAAACAGGCAUAUCCUUUAGCAUGUUCUUUUACCUAAGCAAGAACAACUGCUGCUUAUUUUCUAUGAAACAGGAGAACAAAAUCUAAUCCCUAUAGCCAGAUUCAAAACAUUUAACAACCAGAAGAUCUGAUGCACAUCAUUAUUUUCUUUGCCUCCUGAAGUAUUUUAAAUGACCGAAAUAAACAAUGUUAAUGAUAUAUCAAAAUUAAACAAGUUGAACUGCCUAAGACAGAGCAAGGGCUAGAAAAAUGAUUCAAGGUUCCAAGAGAAAACAAAACAUUUAACACCCCCCCCCUCUCUCUCUCUCNNNNNNNNNNNNNNNNNNNNACUACUACUACUACUACUACUACUACCUCUCUCUCUCUCUCUCUCUCUCUCUCUCUCUCUCUCUCUCUCUCUCUCUCUCUCUCUCUCUCUCUAUAUAUAUAUAUAUAUAUAUAUAUAUAUAUAUAUAACAUACACACGGCACUGUUACUACAAAAAAAGAAAACAGACGUACCAACAGAUUCACUUCUCAAUAUUAGAUACCACUGUUGGAGCCUAACGUCCUCAAAAUAUACAGCUAUAUUGAGGAUACAGAAGACAUGUUAAUAGCAUAUCUAUGAUCUCUGGAUCUUGAUGAAAAUUUGAGAAAUUUCAAGCGGCAUGCACAUUUUCAAACAGAUAUAACAGACAAAUGUGUUUAGCAAUUUGGGCUACCAGCAAUACUCCACAGUACAAAUACUGGCUUAUUCACCUUAAAGCCACAAGUGUACUAGCUUCCCAGGCCCUCGCAACGCAAACAACGAUUUGUCAAGUAGCAUAGCCAAGAGAAUUACAGAUGUUAAAGUUUUAGUAUAGGAAAAUGUCUCCAAAGUCAAAAAAUUCAUGACAAGUUUGAAAACUUGAAGGGAAAAAAAACAAGACGUGCACAAAAAACUAAAGUAAAUGCAAGAAAUUCAUAAUUCUCAUAUGCUUAAAAGAAAAUUUAGGGGAUCAAAGAAACUAACUGCCACUUCCAUCUGGUACUCCUGGAUCACCAGCCUGCGUGCUGCUUGAUGUAGCAUCUGUAUCAACUGAGCUGGAAACUUCCGGGUGGCUAAAUAUCCAAUCCGUGGCUUUCUCAAUGCUCCCGCCCUAGCAAAAGUUUAAACCAAGAUGCAAUUAGUUCAUCAGGGGGAGGGGUAUUGGAGCAGGAGUAUCUCACUCUAACAAAGGAGUGGAUAAAGAAUUAGAGUGAGAUCAAAAACAUUAAAAUAUAAGAGCCCCAAGAAGGAGCUAUAAGCAAUAGCAAGCAUGAGAAAAUUUGUAUUUCGUGUUGACAAAGGAUUGCCUCAUAUCAACAGUAGUUACCAGCAUUACUCAUAUGAGAUGGUAAAUUAAAUAAGGAUCUUACAGAGGUCUUCAAUGCUUUUCGAGCAACCUCUUCUUGAAAACCAAAUGAUAUCAAAGUUUCAACACUUGUUUCAUCAAUAGACAUAAGCUCCACAGUUUUUGAAUCAUGAGAAAUUGGAUCAUCUAUAUCUGCAAAUGGUGAAACAAAUGAAAUCGAAGGCUAGUUUAUUUUUAUCAAACUAUAUUUUUAAAAUAAAUAAGCUCCAACUGGUCGCAUUCUUGAUUACCUCCUGUACAUCUAGAUCUACAGCAACCAGCUCAUCUAUUCAAUAUUUCCAAAACACAAACCUGGAUCAUUCAUGUGAGAUAGCAACCAAUUCAUUGCUUCUUCAACUCCAGCAUUUGAGGUGUUAAUGGCAGCUUUCUGACAAUGGAGAUAAUUGAAGCCCAUGCCUGAAAGUUUUGAAACAAUAUCUUCACUUGCAGCAACAUUUGUAGGUUCCAUCUUCUCACCACUGGAAACUGCAAGACAUGUAACAGUUUGGAAUGCAAUCAUCAGAUACCAAGUUAAAAGAGUCAAACCACUUUAAGAAGCUUCCAACAGAAUUAGCAUAAUCCACCUGUUUCUGGUAGUAAUUCUUCUCCUGGUUGCAGACCUCUGCUGCGCAUGUGUGUGAUAUCAAUUAUAUCGGGUACGUCAAUGUAUACAUCUGAAACACGAGCAUUGAGCAAUAAAUAAGAAGACAAAAAAAAGGUACCAAAAUUGCAAGAUAAAAUUUAAAAUAAAAAGAAAAGAAGGUAUAAACACUGAAAGAGGAAAAUACCAAGUUUCUUUGGUACCCAGCCUUCCCCCAUCACAAAUUUACGCAUAUGCAGUACCAGGUAAUCAGGGAAUGUAACCAAACCAGCAGUCCUGCAAAACCAUGUAGGCAAAGCUUCAUCAACUGUUCUAAAGAUUAAAGCUUUAGACUGUCCCAAUUGUUAAAAUAUUUGAGCUAUAUCUAAUAUCUUAUCUAGUAAAGGAACAUCUUGACAAGCAUAAGGGCGGCCCUGCCCAGGGCAGGCAGCUGUUAACUGCUAUUUUUUUGAUAUUCAAAAAGUGUCUCUGUAUGCAAAAGUAAAUCAGGAAAUGGGAUGUUGACUGCACAUCUAUCAAUUAGAUGACACAAAAUUAUCUUACUAGCCACCUAUUACUUGACUCAACAUCUGAAUGUAAGAGAUUUAGUAAGACACGCCAAACAAGAAAUGAUAGCUUCCCCUUUAGAAUACAAGGCCAUGUUGAUUGCCAACUACCAAAAUUGAUCUCAAUGACUCAGGAGUCAAUGUCACCAGGGUAUACAUUAGCUCUGUGUGUUCUUUACUACAAACAUGUGUCUGCACCUGGAAUGAAAUAAAAUGUGCUGAUAUUAAGUUAAUAGACUUAUGUAACUCUAUUGGCCUGAACCAGUUGGCACCACGGACGGAGACCAAGGAAACCAUACUAUAUAUGUUGUCACUCAGAUUAUCAACAACCCAAAAUACAACAUGUUUUUAUUUUGAAGAUUUACUUCGAGUAUCUAUAAAUUGCAAAACUUAUAUAGCUUUCCAGCAAUCAAGUUUCACACCCUGUUUAAGACCACCUCAGAGAGAUAUAAAAACACAAAAAACUUAAUUACAUUUGCAGUUCUAUCAUGAUGCACAUGAACUUAUGAUAGUAUAGAACCGAUGAUCCAUAUUUACUGAAAACAAGAAAUUUGUAACAAUUUGGGGGCCUAUGUAAAAAGAACUGCCUUAAUUUGUAAGAGUUAUUCGCUUAAGGAGCUGAUUAAUAAGCUGAGAGCUUGUCGAGGUGUUGCGUUAAUAUAAUAAUUAGUCAGUGGCAAUGGUAUAGUUGUGGGUCUAACCAAAAAAAGUGCCUUGCUUCUGCAGCUUAAAUGCAUACGCAGUGCAUUUAAGGUGGUAGAAUCUAGGAUAGCAAGUCGUAUGAUAGCCAAAUAUGCUAAGAAAUUUGCUUCCCUCAAAUACUAGAAUUCUUCUGAUUUUUCUCAAAAUUCAAAUUUCAAGUCCACUUUCGAGAUAAUGCUUCUUAAAAUUUGAAGAAAUGAAAAAAAAGAGAACAGCAUAGAUUUCCUAUGCAUAUAAUAAAUUAGAACCUAAAAGUUAAUUUUGGAUGAAACUGCAAAACCAACCUCAGUUUAGGAUCAAUUUUAGCUGCAACAAAAAUGUUUUAGUUUCAGAGUUCUGACCAAAAGUUCAAAAGUAUGGAUAAAUAUAAGUGCCUGAGCACAACAUGGUGGGUUUGGAGGCAAAGAAACUAGCUUUUUUGGGGGGCCGGGGGAACAGCACUGAUCCUCCAAAAGUCUUUCCCUAUUCUCAGUUACUAGGCUUUCUUUUUCCCUUAUUUUGCAUAUCUGCAAUAGAUUCUUGUUAAUUUAUUUAUGUUAAUUUUUAUUAGGUUAUUUUCAAGCAGUUUGUCCUAUUAUCCAAACAUAACAACUAUUUAUCAUAAUUAUUCUAUUUAUAAUUCUUUACUCGCAAUAGAACCAGCGGCCAAAUGACCCAGGCCUUUAGGUGAGUCAAUGUCCAAUUAAGAUAGGGCAACAUUACCUUCAGUCACCUGCACCACGAUAGUAAGUUGUAGCAGUUUGCUGCUAGUAUUAGGAGUGCUGGAAGCCCAAAUCACCUUGCCAGCCAUAACCUUCUUUAACCCAAUAUUACCCAUUUAAAGCAUUUAUUUUGCUUUAAACACACAGUAAUGGUUAUAUAGACAUCUGAUUUAUUUUAACCUCCCUGAAAAUUUUUAGACAUGAGAAAAUUUGGGAUGAACACCAUAAAACAUAAUUAUCGGCUUCUACUUUUGACACCUAACCUGCACUUCAACCAGUCUGCUUCCUGGUUCUUCAAACCAACCUUAGACCCCAUAACAACCCUCAAGAGAACCAAAAACCAAAAAGAAAUAUUCUGAUUUAUUGGAGAGAACAGUCCUUAUGAAUCUGAGUACUCUUAAAGAUUUAUGGAAUGCACAACAAAAGGAUUGGUGACAAACGUAUAGUCAUGAGAUAGUCAUGACUGUAUAGUCAUGAGAUAUCGAAACACAGAGCCACUCAUUUGUAAUAUUCUGAUUCAUUUGUAAGAUUAUAUGUUGAAGAUUUCUUGUGCCUUCUUUCUGCUUAGAAAUAAUUCUGAAUGGACCUCAACAUGCAGUAAUUUAAAAGGCUUUUACUGGUUUAUGUCAACAAUCACAUAGUCUCCUAGAUUCAAAACCCUUCAGAACCUUUUUUAUUGUCGUCCGUUUCAGAUUACAUACAAGUUUUAGUUGCAGGCAGAAGCAGCACAGCCUUGAUUUGGUAAGAUCAACAUUUAGUUAUAUAAAAAAUGGCAAAGCAUGAUUCAUGGGCAUGUGCCUGCAAAGAUGUUGCUUGGAAAGUUGGCAUGAGAUUUGGUGUAUUAUAUCACAAAUGAAGGUUAAGAAUAAGAUUAAUAGUUGACAUUCUACAUAACUGCUUCUCUCUCUAUACUUAUAUAAACAGACACAUGCACAUAAUACCCUACCAUGUAGGUAGAGUUAUAACACUCCCACUGGAGCAAAUUCUUGAGUUGGUCCUACCAACAAAUGACAAGUUCACCUCCACGUAUUACACCAGAUAGUUUUACACAUUCAUUGCCAUUUGCCCUAUGAAAUCAAUGCACUAAAAGGUGAAACCUUCUUUGCAGUCUUUGUAGGAAAUCAACGGCAUGGGCCAAAUGACAAAAAUACCCCCAUGUCUCUAAAACUAUGUAGUGCAAUACAUGGGGGUUAAUCUUGUCAUUUACCGGAAGGACUACCACAAAAAGUAGGUUCGGUGGCAGAAUCAUAACUCUAUCCAUAUAUAAUGUAUAUAUCAUUUAUCCAUGUAGAUGUAGCAUAUAGCUAGUUCUUUAGGUUUAUAUGAGUUGUUAAUCUAAAACAUUGGCUGUGCUUUAUUUUUCUUUCAAGUUUCUGUCUAGAAAACAAAAAUACAAAAAACAAGGCACGAAUAUGUUUGGUACACAUGUAUAUUUUCUUAUUUUGAAAAAACCAAAGCUCAAGUUUCUGAAAACAAAAGGUGAAAGAAUAAAUCUCAGCUUUCACCUUUUCUUUUUUUUUAAAAAAAGGCAUAUGACAAAAGUCUUGGGAUCUUGAGUACUUGAUGCCAAAUCCAAAUGCCCUUUGAUCUCCUUUACUACAAAACCCAUCCCUCAGAUCAGUCCUUCAAUGAUGAUACCUUCUAGCAUGGCCUUUACCUCGUCCAUAUCUUCAACUUCACUAGACAUGCUGCCAUCAAGCAACCACAUUAAUGUCUGACUCCAGCACAUACCCCUCCUUGAUGCCCCCAACAUUGAGAUCAUGUGGCCCAUCACCUCCCAACCUUAACUUCCUCUGCAUUCACCGUCACUUCUUUAACCUCUCUCCUUGCUCCGACUGACCUUCUUCACUCCAAUCCAGCCAUACUCGAGUGCAAAUAAGGUGGUCCAAAUCGUCAAAAUUGGCGGUGCACCUAUGAACCCCAACCCUCCUCCCCGAGUUGGUCAUCGUCCUCCAUGCCCUCCUCCUCCACCCUUAAGGCCCAUCCCGCCUUUGCAUCACCCACAUCCACAAGCACAUAGAGGUGAUCAAUCACAAUUUGAUGCACUUGCCAAAGGAGGCAAAGAGGCUUAAUAAUAAACCAUUGGAAAACUAGCUUGGACAGCCCAAGCUACUUUUGGGCAAGCAUGAGCAGACUUUUGGCCUAAGGAGCUGGGUUGGACUAAGAUUUUCGGGCCACACUAAAAGAUAGGACAAGCACGAGUUUGCCAAGAUUUAGCCCAAUUGAGCGGUGUAGGUUAUAUAAUUUAUAGUAUUUGAUUAUAAUAAGAGACUAUACAAAAAUAACACAUACCAAAGCAUAUAUAACAGAGAAUCACCUCUCACCCUUUCUCGACGGAAUAAACACAACCACUCAAAUAAACUUAUUUAAUUCCCCACCUUUCAUCUAGGGUUAUUCUCUUCUCUUCUUUGUUAAUCUUGAAUUUGAAGGCAAAGAGAAGACUGACAACCAUAUGCAAUGGAUCAGCUUCUUUCUCUUCAUUAAUCUAGUUUCUUGAAUGUGAUAACACCCCACCAUGGGUCAUGCAACCAAUGGUGUCAAAUGGGCACCUUAUUCAACCAUUUUACCAUAUUUUCUCUUCUGCUCUCUUCUCCUCCCUCAUUUCUACUACCCGGACACCAAUGGCUCCUCCACUACCACCUAGCUGACACUGGCCCCUGAGACCGCCUCCAGACAUGUCCAUUGCAACCUGCCCAAGACCCAUCCUUUCCCACUCUCCACCACCACACCCCACCCUGCUUCCUUCCCGGGCCCCACUCCCUGCCAUAGCCAGAUUGCUGAAAAAGUUAAGAAUUUUUUCUGGUCAAGCCAAGCUACGCCAAUGUCAGAGGGGUUAAAACUAGACCGGGCUCAAGCUAUGAAUGUAAGGCUCGAGGAUAUUCCCCCAAAUCUUAGCACUUAAGACUGAUUGUAAUUUUUUCCAUUACUUUUUUCUUUCAUUUGUUUUCUUCCCUACGUAGGCAAGGCUGGAGGACACACCCCUAGACCAUGAAUUUUUUCUCUGCAGAUUUUCUACACAAAGAACUGAAAACAUUUCAGAUUUAGAUAUAAUAUUCAGCCUGGAAUUUAAUUUCAAAUCAUGCAAAAAUUGCAAAUCUAAUCACCCUAUCCUAUGAGCAUCAUACAUACUACCUCGAAAGCUCCAAUUACCUAACAUCACUGAUCGAGGUUUCUUUAUACAUACUUUUUCCCAAGAUUAUCAGUCAAAGCAUAAACUUCACUCUUUCACAUGCAUAGAGUUAGCACUUUAAUCAUUUUCAAAACUGCAAGUUGUCACUCUUUCCAUAUCAAUUUAAAAACAUCAAACAUAUUAGCUCACAAGAUAAACAACACCUUGAAGUCACAAAGGGACAUCACAACUUAACAUCUCUUUGUAGAAUAAAAGAUACUAGAUUGCAAGAAAGUUGUAUGCGGACAGAUACGCUCAUUCAGGGAGAUCUGAUAGAGAUGACAUUACAAAAGCUUGUGAGCUUCUACAGUGAUAUCAGAAUAAUGAGCCAGGACAAGUACCACUGCAAAUGUGAACUAGAACAGAAAUAGCUAAUUCUUGUCAGAAGAUCAUUAAACAUUUUUCAUCCCACUAUGAGGUCACACCACAGGGCCAAAACGCAAUUUAACAUCUCUUUGUAGAGUAACAGAUAUUAGAUGGAAAACUGCCUCUUGACUGUUCUUUUCUGAAGCCCUGCUGAAGGGGACAAUACAGAAGUUUGUGAUCUUCCGUAUAGACAUUAGAAUAGCAUGCCAAAAACAAGCACCAAUACAAUGUUCGAUAGAAGCAUCAAAGAAAGGCAAUUGUCAAAAGAUUGGCCCAUGGAAAAUCAUUAAACAUAUUGCUUUAACUACGAUGGAUAAUGAUCGUUUGUGCAUGAAAUACCUUAAAAAAAAGUAUCCAUAUAAUGUUUCAACGGUUCCAAUUGUUACAUAUUAGAUAAAAAAAAAAUCAUGUUUUGAGAAUAAUCUUAAUCAAGAAAAUAUGCUAUUUUACCACAAGACCUACUUAAAAAAAAAAGAAAUGAAAAAAGAAACUUGAUUGCUGUCAUCUUAACAUUUAACCCAGCUCUUUAAAAAACAUUCACCACCUCAGCAGCUGAAAAACUAGCUAUGCAAGCUUCCAAGAGUAUUACUUAUGAUCAUGUAUAGAUAGCCAAAAAAGAAUAACAAAACAUAUUUUGAGAAUAAUCAUAACAGGAAAUAUGUUAUUCACCAGUUCUCUUACAUAAAUAUUUCCACUUACUUGAUUGCUGUUGUCUUAGCAUUUAAUGCAGUGCUAUAAAAGCCAUGCACCUCCUCAGGAGCUGAAAAACUUGCUAGGCAUGCCUCCAAGGGCACUCUUGGUCGUACAAUUUCAUCAUUAGCUCUGAUAAAACCAAACCUUUUCAUUACAAUAUUUGAAAAAUGAAAGGCACAGGUGAAAAUCAAUAUAGAAUAUGACAUAUAUAAUGUUCAUCGGUAGCAUACAUUUCCUUCCCUUCCAAGUUCUUUUCGGGUUUCAUCUUGUGAAAUGCUUCUAGCUGAUCUGAAUUAUUUAUUUAAAAGAAAAAAUAGGAUCCAACAUUAGUAAAGGAUCUCAAACAAAAAUUUGGCUUCCCAGCAAAUACCUUUAUUUGUAGCAUCAUGUAAUGGUAUAUUCAGAGAAAGAAUGUUGUCAGUUCUUUUAUUAUAAGCAACUUUUCCAGAUGGACACUGCAGCCGCUCCUCAACAAUAAACUUAAAACUCCUUGAGGGGUCAAAUCCAGGUUUUUCAGCAUUGCCCCGCUCAACUUGGUCAAGCAAAUGUUGGAAAAACUCCAAGGCAUCCUAAAAAGCAACCCAAUGUAAGGAAAUGGUUGUAGACACCCAUCCAGAUGGAAAAUAAAUAUGAGGGAAGCAACCAUACUAAUUAUGUACAAGAAAGAUGAGCUAAGUAGACACUGUUAGUCCAAGAUAUUCAACUAUAUAUUGAGGAGCACUGGUCAAUAAGCAGAGCAGAAAUGUCAUAAAUUAAUGAACCACUUUUUAUUGCUAUACUAUCAAAAUAAAAAAACAUUGCAAGUGCUUGAAAUUCAGCUGCAUAAGGGUGACCUCUAGUACCACAAGGAUGGUAAUAGAAAAUGCAGGAGGACACAGAUUGAGACAGUGGGACAAGAAUUAGAAGCCACGAAUUUAUCUCAACCAGUUUAAAAAUUAAUCUCCAUGGUGGGAUGCUUGGUAAAUGUCAAUAUCUAGAUUCCCAUACCAAAAAAAUUUUAUAGUCAGUAGCAUGGUCAGCGAAACCGUCCCGAACCACCCAGUUCAGGGCGUACCGGUGACGGACCAGGACGGUUCCAGCAAUGAAAACGAGAACCGGCGAUGGAGGGGGAGAAGGAGAAGGAAAAAAGAAAAAGCGAGAGAGAGAGAGAGAGAGAGGAGGGGAAGAGGUGGAGGCUGGCCCACAGAGGGCCGGGGAGCCGCUGCGCGCAGGAGGCAGAGGAGGGGCUCCGCCUCCUCCACGCGACUCGCCAGCCUCCCUCCCACUCUCCCCCUUCUCUUUCUCUUUUCCUCUCUCCCAUUCACCCUCUCCCCUGCCCCCUCCACUGUGUCGGUACGGGCCCGACACAGAACGGCAUGGCACCAUACCGACCCGUGCUGUCGGAGAACUGGUCCGAGGUCCGGUUCCGGCACAGCAGUCCUUAGCCAAUAGUCUGACAUAACCUGCUGCUCUCAAGACUAGCCUUGGUGGGAAGCUUGCAACAUGGUCAAUGUUUAAACUCCCUAAGGACUGGUGUUGACGCUUCUCUUGGCAAGCCAUCAUGAGAAACUUAUUAAUGUGAACAGGGAGUAUUCUUUUAACUCUCUGACUUAAUUGGAUUAGGGUAGUUUUUUUUCAAGUCGGUGAACUUGAUUAACUUUAAUCAAAUCAUUUUACAUGUAUUACAUAGAGAACAAAUUUUUGUUAGUCAGUUCCCUUUUUCUUUUCUGUGCAUUAAAAGGUCUCUUUAGCAAACAGCUGGUUAAUUUUGUUAUGAGUUGUAAUAGAAGCUCUUAGUUGCGUAUUGAAUAAAAAGGUUGUUUUCCUUUAAAGUUCAAACUUCAAAAGCUAUGAUGAACCCAUCAGGGCCAAUACAAGAGAUACCCCUAUAUCAUAAUUUACAAUCAAAAACAAUAUUAAAGAGGUUUCUUUUCUUGUUUCUUCCAUGGUAUAAGUUCAUAAAAUGGAGGCGCAAAUCCUUCAACCAGAGUUAAAAUGGCAACUUACAGAAGGGAAUUCAGGUCCAAAUAAUCCAGGAUAAAGCUGGCGAUAACAUUCUUCAAAAAAAUGAAUGAUAAAUCAUCUUGAGCAAAGUUUGAUUCUGCAUUAGCUUGGCUAAUAUUCAGCUAUGCUUCUACUUCAUAAGGCACUAGAGUGAUGGUACAUGAAGUAAAGAAGAUUUUUAUGAAAUAUUUCUAAUAUAUGAAAAUUCUUGUCAGAUUUUUCUUUUCCAUAUAGCAUAUGUUCUGGAUGGCUUGCAAUAACAGAAAGACUCUUUAAUCAGCUUUCAAGAAUCAUGAUCCAAGUUGAAGAGCUUUCUCAACUUGUCUAAAUUAUUAUUGGUUGAAAUGAAAUAGGAAAUUUGAACUUUAAUGCUUAAAGUAAAAAAACCAUGUAAAAAAAUAUGCAUCAAGUCACUUGCAUGUCCAUUGAUCUCUAGGUUACUAUUACCUGUUGCCUCAUACUUGAAAACUCAGGAUGAUUAGCAGCAAUAACAGUUUUAAACAUACGAGGAGGAAUCCCUUCUUGCUUCUGAAAUGGGAAAGAUGAAAAAUAAGCAUUCAAGUAUCAGCAUGAUAUUGAAGCUGGCCACAAUAGCAAUAUAGAGCGUAAUUAACCUUCACAAACAUUUCAAAUUUUAAAACAGCUAAAAGUGACUUUUCAUUGCCUCUUCCACCAAACUUUUCAAAUUGCGAAGUCAGAUCAAAUCUGUCUUACUCAGUGAACAAAAGCAGUGACAAUGUCAUGAAUAAAUAAAUAUAAUUCGAGAAUCAUUAACUUUCAAUCUACAUGACUCAUGUGUACAUGCUAAUUACUCAAAUCAUAUUGUAUGAUCUCCAAAACCCUCUCAACUUUCACAAUGUACUCUGCGGUUUAUGAAUAGCACCAGGAGAAGGAGGAAAAAAAUUGCUGCAACUGUUGAGCAGUCCAAGUGCCAAGUCACGAUAAAAGCUUAGCAACAGAUCUCUACCAUUUGGAAUCCAUUUUGCAAAUAUUAUCCAAUUGAUUUGACAACAAACAGCAAUCCGCAUUGAUAGGUUAAACCUUGUGCUUACACACAUUCUUCCUCUUUCUGGUGGCAUCUCAUGAAAUAUUUCAUUGGUGACAAAUUCUAAAACUCAUACAUGCUAUCAGUCUUAUGCUCGAUGUUGUGUGGUAUCCCUGAUAACUCUUCAUGCUGAAAAAGUCUAUAAUUUUAGGUAUCUAUAGUCAAGCAAUUUAUGGUAAAGAAUCACAAGCAAAUUAUGCCUCAACAGAUUUUGCGAACAUUUAGUUUCUUAUUAAGGUUAUACCAUUCUUACCAACAUAUAAAAUCUGCAAUAGCACUACGGCAGUUCAAGACUCAGCUAAAGGUCAAAAAGUACACCAGGAGAACUUACAGCACUUGAGGUUGUGGUUUUACAAUCUCCCACUUCAUCCAUCUGGUUGAUAAACAAUAAAUCAUUAUACUCAACACAGGAUAAGAAAAUUAUGCAAGAAAAUCUUUAAUGUACCUCUUGAGCCGGAAAAGAGUAUUUACCAGACAGCAAACCAUACGCCAGUUUAGUCCUAUGUCAAACAAUAUCCAUUAACUUGAGAAGAAAAUUAAGACAAUAAUGCCAAAUGGAACAACUUCGGAAUGACCAAGACUCAAAUACCAAACAAGGGUAGCAUCAAAAUAAUAAACAAAAUCAAAUGAAUGUCACAUAUUUAUUGCAGUUCCUGAAGAGCUUUCCCUUGACAAUUAUACUGAGAUUGAUAUAAUAGAAUGCACCAUUGUAGUGAUCCAUGGUAUAAGAACUAGGCCAAAAUGAGACAUUUUGCAAGAAGGAUUUUUACUUUUUUAUGCGGUGAGCAGAAUUUUUUACUUUUUUAUCUAUCAGCAAGUAUAUACUGGUAACAGCUCCAGUUUUAGAUGUUGUUUGAUUUCGUCUGAAACAUAUGGUUUUGGCAGAAAAAUUUCAUAUUGUCAAAAAUGUAAAAUGGAAUAAUAUCAUCAAGGUAAUUUUAACUUGAUAUGUACCUAUUAGUAUUCACAAUUGAAAAAAAAAAAUCUCAAACUACUAGAAUUUUUUACCAUUCAGAAAUUACUAUAGAUUUCAAAGCAUUUAAGCUCAUUUUGUUGGAACAGAGACCAGCACAUUUGAGUACAAAUAAAUUGUAAUGCAGUCAAAAUUUACUACAGCAUUCUUAUAGAACUUUAAAGCUAUUCAUUUUUUGUAUGGGCAUGUCAACAUAUAUCAUGUUGUUAGCAUUACCCUAACAUUUCUCAUUUUGUAACUUUAAGACAUCUCCUUCUGUUGCAGCUUAUUUCAGUGUGGAACUAGCUAAUUGAAACAACAACCCUUUUGACCCCACAACUGGACGGGCACAUAUUCCAACACUGUAAAUGUAAAAUUUGAUACAAAACCAGAACGAGCCAAGAAAAGGUAUUAUCUAAAUUAUCAAGCAGUCAGUAAUGGCAAACUGCACCAGCCAAAAUUAAGCAUUUAAUGGCAAACUGCACCAGUCAUAUGAUGCUAUAUAGUGUUAGCUUUUGCAUAGACUCAACAAAUAUUAACAUAGAUCUAACUAUUAAGAUCAGUAACAGAAGAAUUAGCCUCAGUGCUAUUUAGAAGAAUCAUGCAAUCCUAAAGUUGUAAUGAUAGAUAACAUUUUCAUUUAAGACUACUUUCUUAGAAGUGUCAGUUAAACAUUCACUUACAACUGUGUAUUCAAGUCUAGUGUUGGAUCAGCAGGAGACAUCUCAUAUGCCAUUUUCAAACUCUGUUUCUCAUAGUAUCUGAAAGGAUAACAGGCAUCAAAAUCAGAAAAGAAAUACAAGAGCACUACAACAUUGACAAUUCUUACAUGAGUAGUAUGCAUACUUACCGUGAAAUGAAAGAACGAGUUGAGAAAACCACUUGCAUGGUUGAUGCCAUAUAGCAGCUGGCAAAAAUUAAAAGAAAAGCAACUAUUAAUUUUGAAAGAAGACUACAUGUUCAAUACCUCUCAUCUGAUUACCUAUUCCCAAGAUUGACAAGCCCGGUAUAGCCUGGUCCAAACAAGGGUUCCACUUCCUGCCCACUUUCCUGUAUCCGAUUCCAGUCAAAAUUUAUGUUCUGGUCCAAUUCUCUUUCAGCAGUUGUCAUUUCAGUCUGCAAUAAUGAGGUUUAUUAUCAGUAAGAAUGGCUAUGCAUCUUUUGGUAAUAAUAUCAUGAAGCGAGUCCAUGAUAAUAAAGAUCAUGCAUGCCCGGUAUCAACUACAAAUGCAACUGACAACAGUUGUUCAGUAUCUUUGCCAUAAGCUUUCAAUGCAUGUUGGUGCUGCCCUUCGUAUGUACUAGAGAUAUUACAUCAAACAAAAAUUCCUAACAAAUCUUAUAGAAGUCACUUUCCCAUGAUUAAACAAAAUAAAUAAUACAAUCACAUCUUGGUGCUGCGUCGAUAUUAUAGGCCAGCUGUAACAAUGCAAAACCUCACCCAAAAAGGCUAGCCAAAAGGUAUUAUUUGAGUUCUUUGAUCUUGUAUAAGUACCCCAGAUCUACCCAACGAAUAACCGAUGUGGGACUAAACACACGCUCACAUGGGUCUCACAUACUCUCCCUAUUUAAGCCAUAACGUCCUCAUCAGGCUAAAAGUUCAAAUCCAUUCAAAUAUAAUCACAAGCACCGCGCUCAGCUCGUGGUCAGCCCCAGUGAAUCCGUGUUGCAGUGUCUCCUAGUCCACAUAGGUUAUAGGUCAGGUGCGCUAUAAUACCAUUUGCAACAACCCAGAACAUCACCAAAAAAUGCUAGCCGAAAGGUAUUAUUUGGGCUCAUUAAUCUUAUAUAAGUAUCCAAGAUCUACCCAACGAAUAACCGAUGUAGGACUAAACACACGCUCGCACAGAUCCUCAUAUAAAAUAGCGACGCGCCCAGCGCGCUAGGACACAAUUUUCCUCACAACUCUCAAUAUAUUUUUGGGGUGAGAGAGGCUCGAACUCUCAACCUUAGUGUUCCUCAAUUGCUAUGAGACCUUCACAAUAUACAACUGCGCCACCACCCAAAACCUCACCUAAAAAGGUUAGUCAGAAGGUAUUAUUUAGAUUUUUUUGAUCCUGUAUAAAUAUCCAAUAUCUACCCAGCGAAUAACCGAUGUAGGACCAAGCACACGCUCACACGGAUCCUCACAUACUCCUCCCGUUUAAGCCGUAACGUCCUCGUCAGGCUAAGGGUUCAAAUCCAUUCAAAUAUAAUCACAAGCAUCAAGAUCAGCCCGUGGUCAGCCCCAAUAGAUCUGUGUUGUAGUGUCUUCUAAUCAACGUAGGUUAUGGGUCAAGUUUGCUAUGGUACCAUUUAUAACAAUCCAAAAUCUUACCCAAAAAGGCUAGCCGAAAGAUAUUAUUUGAGUUCUUUGAUCUUGUAUAAGUACCUAAGAUCUACCCAGUGAAUAACCGAUGUGGGACUAAACACAUGCUUGCACGGUCCUCGCACCAACAUGAUUCCAGGUGCAUCUCUUCAGAGCGGUCUUCUUAAAGGUCGGCAAAUCAGCAAAAAAUAAGGCCGCAUACUAGUGUAGAUCAGACUUAAUGAGUGGUUGGUGACAUGUAGAACAAAAGUGAAGCACUUAAAAAUAAGGUUGAAAAUCCAAUUUUGGUAAAAGGUAAAAUGCACCAAACUCAAAGACUAGUCCAGCUAAUCAGCUAUCGUUCAUCAACUAUUUUUUAGCCUCGAUGAUUCCAGGGACAUGCAAGUGUACCUAGUGUAUGCUCAUAUGCAUGCAUCUUUGUCCUUAUAUGCUCAAAUGCCACAAGUUCUGGUCAGAUCCCUCUUUCCAAACUCUGUGAGGACUCCUAAAAUAGAAAGGAAUCAGCAGAAACAUGUUAAUUUAGGUGGACUUAUCAACUAUAACAGUCCCCCAAAAUUUGACUCUACCAAGACUCUUAAUAAGAAAUAGACGGACACCUAUUGGGCGCCGAAUUGCAGCCAAACUACUGCAUCAAAAAAAAGCAUCUAAAACAGUUCCUUAAAAAAUCAACAAAGCAAAUCCUAAUGCAAUCAGAUAAUACUAUAAUAAAAUAAAUGAAUGGCAUUAAAAGAACCCAAACAAGACCAUAAAUGACAUUUGUUUGACCAGCAAGAAUUGGCCAGAUCAUUAUAACUGGCAACUCUUUUCUAGUCUUUUUGCUGCACCUAGCACUAACUGUUAGUUGUUACUAUUACUAAUAUUGCUAUUGUUUAAAAAAAAAUACCAUCAAUAUUGUUGUUUUUCUAUGUAUUUAAUGUAUUUGUUAAGUAGUUCAAAAAUAGUACUGCUAAGCGCCUGCAUAUGCAGCCUGCAUACCAUAUAUGCGCUGCAUGGUCCCUUGACCACCCAUAUACCGCAGCCACCUUUUAAAAUGCAUGUCCCCUUUCCCUCUUUUCUAUCCUUAAAAAGAGCUCAAAGCCCACCUAGAGGUAUAACUAGAGUAAGUAAUUUAAGACCAUGCCACCACAAAUGAUAUUUCCUAAUUGGUCCUUUUUGGGAACUGCUAUUCCUACUCUAAUGUGUAAGAUUAUCAAUAUUUUAUAAAAUAAAAAAGUAUGAAAAAACACAGUGAUGAUGAAAUAACUAAGAAAAUAGACUAAGAUUAGAGAGGACUUUUCAGCGUGGUCUGCAAGCAUAAAAAUAAUGGCAGUAUUUCAAAAAAUUACAUAAACAUGAUGUUCAUGUGAGAUAUUACAAGAACAAUAAAAAAUAACAGGUGUUCAAAUACCAAUUUCAGUAUGGAUAGGUAAAAAACCAGUUUUCAUUGUUCUAUAGAAUAGCAACUUUACAUGGUCUUUUUUCAGAUAGGAAAAGUCAAAAAGGCAUGAAGAAAGCUAAGCAAGUAUUAGAUAGUAUAAUUUAGCACAAAAUAAAUCAAUAAAUAAAUAAAUUCUUGCUGUGAGGACACAUAACCAACCUUUUGCAGUGACGAAAAGUUGAUGCCAAAAAAUGCCAAGUGUUGAGCCAAUAAAGGAUCCUCAACACUAUCAUCCUCCGGGUAAGAGAAAACAUCUGAGCUGCCAUAAUAACUUGAUAUAAGUAACAGAUGAUACAAAAAUAAAUUUGUGAUGAGUUAAUUCAUCUGUUUAUGAAUGAAAAAAGACAAUUAAUCGGUUUUCCAGUCUCAUGUCUCUUGAGUGUAUGAUUCAAUAUUAAGUUAAAUCAUCAAACAUUAAAUUACAUUUAAUUUGAUAUUGAGUUUGGAUGAUGCAAUUAUGGGUUAUUAACUUAUAUCUAUACACAUUCAAUCACAACUUGUACAUUUGUAAGUUGUACAUGCGAAGGCAAGGCUAGGGGAUUCCCUGUCUGUUCGAGAAAAACUACUCAAGUAGAUGUCAUUCACUGAUUAUGAUAUUAUUCAAUAGAAUGAUUUUGUGCCCUUUUGCUGCUAAUGAUACUGCAACCUAACCUAAAACCUUUCCAAAGUUGUCUAAUUUUAUGCUACUCAAAAUUAAAAAUUAAUAGUAUGAUAUAGCGCCACUAGAGGAUAGACCAGCAAAGGGUGGACAUAAGAAAGUAUAAGAAUCUCAGGGUUAAGGCAAUCUAUCAUCUAGUUAUCUUGCAACAUGAAGCAGGAUAGAGCAUCCUUUCUUUGCAAUUUUAAAAAUUAUAAGGUUCAACAAAAAAUUAUUAGGUUGUCAUGAGAAGUAUGGUUCCUGAGGAAUCUACGGUUGAUCAGAGAUGCAACAAAGGUUAGUAGUUGACAUGCAAACAAAACUUAAGUUACAGCGAAUAGUUUCAGCAAAGAGUGACAUGACAGUGAUCGUAGAAUGACUGUAGAGAAAAAAAGUAUUCAAUCUAGGGUUGACUCCCAAGUUUAGCAGCUUCAAAAAUCUAAGAUUUUUACAAGAAAUGAGACCUAAGGUUGCUCUAACAAUUUAUUGCAAACCUGUACUCAGAUUAAAAUCAUAAAAUAAGUAGACAGCAGCAAUUAAAAAAGAGUAGAAUGCUUGAGAACAGAUAGAGAGUGAGAAGAAUGUUUUGAGAGAACAAAGAAAGUAAGGUGAAGCAAACGAGAAAUGGGAGGUACAAGGAAGAGAAGCUAAACCUCACUGCAUUUUUAUCUCUUUCACAUGUCUAAGACUUCAACAAUCUGUAUUCAAUUAACUAAACCACUUGCUCUCUAUGUUAUCUUAUUGAAGUCUCAAAGGCACCCUUAAUAACUAAGUAACCGGUCACCCAGAAAAGGGCCUAGAAUAUUUUCUAAAUUAUAAAAUUUGGAUUCCAAUGGAACCCAAAAUAGAAAGACACCCAAGACUUUCCCAAACUAAGACCUGAUUACGAAAAGACUUACCAGCCCAAAAUAUACAUCAAAUAGGACCUCUACACAGCUUCUCUUGCUGAAAAUAGGACACAUAAACCAACACCACAAAUUUCCUUUAGAAAAGAUUCAGAGCAACAAUGAAGUUCAAAAUAUUUAUUUAGUCUCAACAUUCAUAUAAUAUAUAUGGGUAUAGCAUAAACCAACAAAAAAGAUCCCAUUAUUUCCCAUCCAUUAUGGGACAACAUCACAAACUUUACUUUGUUGCUUACUCUAUCAACAAGCAUAUCUUGCAUCACCGCAAUCUUCCUCCCUUUCAUCUGGUCUAUCCCCAUCUUCCUUCCAUUAUUUGGAGCCCUUGGGCUGGAACUUGGGCAUUACCUACUUACACAACUUGCUUAUGUUGCAAAUUAGUCAUGAUCAUCACAUUAUCCUAUAUUCCAUCAAUCGUUGACAUGUUACCAUUAAACUCCUCAAAUUAUGUAUCCUUGUGUUGAGACAGCACUUCAUAAUCCUUAAAUUUAUGAUUCCAGACCUUUAAGCAUGGAGUCACUUUAUUCUCUAGGAGGUCAAAUCAUGUGAAAUGGAUAAUCUUAUAUCAUCCGACAACAAUAUACUUAAGCGGCAAGAUGUCAAGUUGACAGGCUUUUAUCAAAAGAAGAAAUAUAGCUGUAGUGUGCACCUUCAAUGAUCAUGAGAUUUAUGUUGCUGAUCUCUCAAUUUUGUAUAUCAUAUCCUCAUAGAUUGAUACCAUCAGUAACAACCUAGAAAACAUACCUCAUUCAAACUUUAGCACUAAAUUUUUUUGUUAAAUUUUAGCAUUAUGACUUUAGUGUUGCGUACAGUAACAUUAUGACAAAAGUGUACAUGUGGACGUGGGCGCAUACGCCCAUGCUUUCAUGUGUGUGUGUGUGUGUGUGUGUGAGCGAGAGAGAGAGAGAGGAGGAACNNNNNNNNNNNNNNNNNNNNCUUCUAUGUGUGUGUGUGUGUGUGUGUGUGAGCGAGAGAGAGAGAGAGAGGGACAAAGAGAUUUUUGGCUGCACAUAUUUGCAAAGUUAUUAUAGAUUUUACAUUUGAGUACAUAAAUACUACAUAUAAGCAUUGUUCCCUCAUGUCCUUGUAGUACAACAAAAAAUAACCAGCAAAAUGGUUUUAUGGUUUUAGCAAAUUGUGAAGUGCUAUUUAAAAAUUUAGAUCAAAUAAGAUGCUAACAUAAGGCGGAAAAGAAAAGGAAAAGAGGAAGAUAUGUUGCUGGACUUGGGUGAUGAGAAUGGGCUUACAAGACAAGCUGCAUGUCUCAAGAUAUAACAUGUUUUAUCCUAGCAGGUGGCAUCUAACUUGACCCAGACUAGAAACCAGGGCAGGGUUUUGUAAACUCGAGGUGUUAAGGACUAAACCUGAAUACUGAAACAAUUUGAUUGGUCCACCUGGACAGGUGGAGUUGGUUCUAUCCUAAUCUGAAUCCUACCCAUCCACUUAAGAAGUUCGGGUAGGAUAGCUCUAUUUAAUAUUUGUUCUGUUCAAAGCUUUACAGGAUAAACUUUCAAUUUUUCUUAAGUCUCAUAAUCAAGUUUGGUGUACUUUUGCCAAACAAACAAACAACCCGGUAAUAUAUGUAAGGGUAGCUUUAUGGCGCAAACCCAAAAAAAAAGCAAGUUUUCUAAUUUAGAUUGGGCAAAGACUGGAUUCUUUUCUACCUGCAACACUAGCACCAUUAUUUAUCCUCCUAAAUAUUAGUGUUACCUAUACAAUUAUAGAUUAGACACAAUGCUAAGUAUUUAGGUGUCCCAAAGAGUCCAACACGUUAACCCCCAAAAAAAAAUCACAAGAGGCUUCCUUUUAAUGCAGUUUUCUUUUUUACAAAUAAAAAUAUAGUCACACACACACACACACACACACACACACAUAUAUAUAUAUUAACUUGGCUACUAAACUACAUAGAGUAAUCGAAGAGACUUUUUGGCAAGGUUUGCCAUAUCAAACGAACCAUACCCAACAUAUCAUACCUUACUGGUACCGAACCAGUAUGCAGUCUCAUACCGUAACAACCCUCGGUAUCCCUCAUCGUCUCGCACCAUACCACAUACCGACACUGUAACAAGAUCGUACUGGUAUGGGGUCCAGUACUGAGAUGGUGAAUCUUGCUUUUUGCUAACAAAAUUUUAUUCAUAUCAAUAUUUUAUAGGGAAAUAAUUCUAGCACUUGAAAUGGAUGGGUAAGUGACAUCGCUUGUAAUGAAGUGUCGUCUAAUAACACACUCCAAAAAGUUGUGCCAAGAGUUGACACUUUUGGUAGAUGUAAGUUGAACACUCCAUUUUCUAAAGGGUUACAAGGUGUCAUGCUCUUUUAUGUCCAACUAUUUGGUAGUUUUAAUACUUUGAAAACCCAUAAAGAGAAGAUUCCAUACACCCCAGCUAUGGAGAUUUACAAACUUUAUAACAUCUACUUAUCCAAAAUUUUGAGAUACAAAAUUUAGAAUUCAUUAGGAUAAUUCAUGAAAUUCAUAUUUCAGAACCUUGAGAAAAAUCAAAUGACAAUCAAUAGAUUAUAUAAAAAAAAAUUCAUAAAACUAAUUCAAACAAUAAUUUCUUCUUUCUUACAAAUGAAGCAAUUAACAGACUCUUCCUCAGAAACAGCAUCAAGAUUUAAACAUCUAAACCUAGUACUUUAAAAGCCAUUAUCCCCAAGAACUAUGAGAUUUAAAGAUUCAGCACCAUUCCAAUGUAAAAGGUAAGAUUGAUUUCGUGUUUGCAAAGAAAUCAACAACCAAAAAGAAAAUUAUAGUGGCAUGCUCUCUCAAAUUGCAUGUUUACUAGACUCUAAAAAGAAUCAGAAGAGCUGGUUGCAAUUAUAAUGUCCAAUUUAAAUCCACUACAUUGACCAACAAAUUUAAGAAAUAAACAAAACAAAAGGAAUUUAAGUUUACUUCAUAGAACUUGAAGCAUAAAGCAAUUUAGAGUAAAAAUAAAUGCUAAAACAAGAUUCAAAUUUCGGACAUACGAGAAAACUUCAUGUAACAUGCAGGCAGCAACUCACAACACUGUUAUGCAAAAUGUAUGCAUGAUUAAGGGUGUAGACCAUCCUACAUCUGAACAGCAUGUGAAAACAUUACCUGCUCCAUCCAAAUCAGCAUUUAUAGUUCCAAGUUUUACAGCAAGAGGAUAGUUUGUCUCUUUGUAGUGCUCCAUAGCAUGAUUAUUGCCGCCACUGCCAUCCCAGUUUCUCCUUCCACAGAGGAUCAUUCCAUCGGUUAAGUUCAGCCAGAGGUUAUCAGUCUUGUCGCAUUUGCUACAUUUCCACCCAGAUGGAGGAACAACAACACCAUUGUUAAUCUGUUGCAGGUUCAUGGCAUAGGCACUGACUUUCUUUUUCUCAGCAGUCCAAGAUGCUAAUUGCCCUUUGCGUUCAGCACCUUCAGCAAUUAAAAUGGAAUCGACAGCCAGCCUAACCUGCAAAUUUACAACAAAUUGAAGUAUAGAAUAUUUUAUGAUUUUUCACCUAGAUGCUCAUUGUAACAGGAAAACGAGUACCUACCUUUUCUGGCAGCUCAACAGAUGGAAAUGGGAGAGUAACGUAAUCAGGUAAUAUGACAAUAUCAUAAGUUUCUUCAUAUUCUGGUUCUUGAUUAUCAAAACCUCCCUCCAUACCUAUCAAAGACAUUAUAUCAAUAAUCUCUUUUAAUGCAAAAAAUGAAUGCAACUAUUUUUGUUAACAAACAAGAUAUAAAAUGUAUAAUAGACAUAUUAGAAACUUAGAUACUAUUUUUCCACUCCAAAUUCAAGCUACAAAACUUAAGCCCAAGGCCUCAUUGAGACAACAUGGUGGCACUUAAUGUUAAGAUAUGACCCAAUUGGGCCAGUCAAAACUUAUGUCCACUUGUUCAACUUAGUUAGAUAUGAACCUCCUAAUCCAUUCAUGCAAACUCAUGCACCUCUCCUAACUGAGCUUUUUCUUAAAUUUUUAUUGCACAUGUCCAUACCAUAUCAAACAAUUCUCUAUCUUUUUGUCCUUAACUAGUGUCAUUCUUACAGCUCCACUAAAGUAUUCAAUCCUUGAUUUAUCUUGCAUAUUAUUAUCAUGUAUUCAACUCAACAUUCUAUACCAUACAACAUUAUUUAUCAUAUGAACAUCUUACAAAGGCAUAUGAUCAUCACAUAGUGCUUUACAAGAACGUAUCCGCUUCAUUCACCUAGCUUCAUCCAUAUAAUACAAGGAUACCAUAUCCAAAUCAUCAAUCCUUGUCCCAAAUUCCCUGGGUUGGCUCCACCUCAUUCACCAACCACUCAUAUUAUGGGUUCAUAUAGUACAUAAUUCCAAGUAAAUAACAUCAAAGAGUUAACACAAAGCAAAUAACAUCAAUGGUCAACACACUACAAAGAAACAAAUUCACUAUCCAUCUCUGACACAUUGCUAUCGACCCCAGACAAUAUGAAGAAACAGGUAAAUAACAUCAAAGAGUUAACACAAAGCAAAUAACGUCAAUGGCCAACAACUACAAAGAAACAAAUUCACCACAUUGCUAUCAACCCCAGACAAUAUGAAGAAACAGAUAAAUUUACAUUAUGUUCGAGUGUUCCGCUCUAUUAUUUCAGAUUUGAUCUUAUUCGAUACUCUCCCUCUUCAUGUCACCAACUUAUGCUUCCAAGCAAACCUCUGAUUAAAUUUCAAAGAAUAUAAAUACUACCAAUCUAACAAAUUUACAUGCAUAAGGCAUUAACAAGUUUUCCACACAAGAAACAUGGAAAGUUAAGGUUUCCAGGUAUUAGCAUUCAAUCAUAUCCAUAUAUCUAUGUCACUGCAAGAAUAGUCCAUAAAGAGCACCAGCAAGUCAUUAUACUUCCAACAUUUUCUUGAGAAUGAUUUCAGCAACACUAGUUCUCCCACAUAUAUUCAAUAUCACUGGCUUGAUUAAAAAAGAAAUGAAAAUAGCUGCCUAGAGCAACUUGAUCUAGGUGAAAGCAUAAUAAUGGUGCAUGCUCAGAUUGGAUGAUCCCAUGAAAUUCCCAAAAGAAUAAAAAAAAAUGUUAAAAGAAAAGGGAUACAGGCAAAGAUAUACUGGCGCAUUUCCUAAGACUCAAAGAUAUAAAAUUAAAAACUAAACAAAUAAUCAUAAGAUCCAGGCAAAAAAUUCCUCAAUGUGUGAAGUGAGCUAGAUUUGAAACUUGUGGGGAGUAUUAAAUAUUGAUCAGGAUGGCUUUACCUCGUCGAUUUUACCUCCCUUCCCUUCAAAAAAAAAAAGAAACGAAAAAGGAAUUUUGCAAUACCGUAAAUGUACGACUUUUCUAGUCACAGUUGAUAAUUUUGCACUCUUCCUAGUUAGAUUUCAACCACUACACCCAGUAAUUCCACCAUCAAGACCGAUAGGGGAAAAAAACAAAAGAAAAGACAGUUCUGAAGGCAAUCAGGUACCGAUGGCGAGAAGGGUGGGUUUCUUGAGGGGCCGGUCCUCACGGACGGGCUUCCUCCUCUGCUGGAUGUGGAGGUAAACCGGGUUCCCCGUCUUCUCGUAGUUCCAGCCGACGUACUCCUUCCCAAACGCAAGAAACGAGCACAAAUCCACAUACAGCCCCCCUUCCGACCUCUAAACCAGACCAGAUCACCAUCAAACGACUUGAAAUCGGAAAAAAAAAUAAAGAAAGCAAGAAUAGAUCGGAGGAACCCUAAAAUUCGGGAAGAGGGAGGGAUUACCGGGGUGUCGAAGGAGAUGCAGCACUCCUGCUUGUAGAUGCGGUUGGUGGGCUCGGGGAUUCGGACCUUGGAGAGGUGAGAGCGGAGGAGCUCCAUCGGGGACGGGAUCAUUCCAGUAGGGUUUUGGGCGGGGUGAGCCGAAGGGGCGGGGAAACGGCAGCGGAUAGUAGGCGCAUAACUGCAUAAGUAGGCCUGGAAGAAGCGGCCUCCGGCCAGCUCCUGACCGUCGAGCCGGGCCGACUUCGGACCUGGCUAUGGGCAAGGCCCAGGUACGACAAGUUUAGGGCUUAAAAUUAGCUCCGUUUUGGGCCAAGCUCGAGCAGCUAUGUAGCUCUGCCCGGGUCCGGCCUGAGACCGAGCCCGAGCCUGGCAUCCAGAACCAGGCUGAGUCCAUAGAACCUAAUUCUAAGCCCAGGGACGAAAAGCCCAAACCAGGUUCAGCAACAUAAAAGAGAGGGAGCGAGGAGCCUCAAAUUUAGAGUGGAUAUAAUGAAAGAUAAGAUGGAGGCGCAUGUGGGGGAGUGGGAGAAUGGGAAAGAGGAAACCCAAAUGGUGAGAUGGAGAGAGAAGAUAAGGGCUCCUAUUUGAUCAACCCGUGCAUCCGGAUAAGUGAUCCUGUUCGAUUGACUCGUGCAUUUGAUAUUGAAUUAUAAUUUAACUAUGAAGUUAUCAACCACCGGAUAUUCUUAUGAAUAUUAUUUUUUAAAAUAUUUAUGUAUAUAGUAUAAAUAAUAUUAUAUUUUGAUUUCAAUCAACUCAAGCUCAACUUAGGUUGAUCUUGGCUCAGUCUAAUUUUCGAGCUCGAAAAUCUGGCUCAAGCUCGGAUCUUAUAAUGAAUAUCAAGCUAAAUGCAAAUAGCCUUGCAAACUACUUGCUUAUUUGAUAUGUCCAGUAAAAAGACUACAAUCUACCUUAAGCGACAUAAUUCUUGAGUGAAUACAAAUUUUGUUGGAGUGCUCUUGUUAGAAGGCAAAGGGCAUCAGUUGAGAUGCACUAUAGAAACCUAUAAAGCUGUUAUUUCACCAUUUUAAUUUCUAGUGCCGAACAUGAGACCAUCAAAACAGUCAAGGACCUUGCAGACAUAAUACCUGGCUAAUAUAAUUUAUUAAAAAGACUUGUUUACCACGCUAAAGGGAAUAUUUCAAAGUUGAGCCUUCUUUCUUAUUUUCGUUUAGAAAUUUACAAGCAUUGUUAAUUAGUUUGAAAUGUACAAGCUUCCAUCAGUUUACUCGCAUGUAGAAAGAGUUACUGGGAAAUAUUGUUUAUCUAGAUAUGCUGAGAUUCUAUUAUUAUUUUUAUUUUAUUUAGUUUUUUCUUCUAGAAUAUUUAUCAUUAUCAUUAUGUAGUUAUAAAGUUUUGUCUUUUAGUAGGUGUUGGUUUUUGAAUUUAAGUAGGAAUCAAACAACUCAUUAAUAAUGCUUUAUUUAAAGAGAUCUUUGGUAUUUCAUUUAGUGUAACGACAUAACAUAAGAAAAUAGAGGAGGAGAGAACGAGAGUUGUCAUUUUUGGUGAGAAGUGUGAGUGAGCUUUUUUUUUUGUGUGUCUGUGGCUCAAUUUUUUAAUAUUUUUUAUCUCUUAGUUAUUUUUCUUCUAGCUAUUUUUUUUUAUUUUUUUAUUUAAUGUUUGUUCUAUAACUUAGGCCGGCACGAUCAAUUUACUCUGCGUAGAAUGCAGUUAUAUAUGGUAUCAAAGUUAUGGGCUUGCAGAUCAUUUAAAAGUUUACAGUAAUUUGCUAUGCAGUAGUGUAUGUGUGUGGACUAAUUCAAGAGGUGAAUCAUUAUGGCUGAAGCUAUGAUCCUCUCUUGAAGUUGGAUCAAAAAAUUGAACAACACUAAUUAUACAUAUUAGAAACAUAAAUAAUGUAUAGUUCCAAUAAAAAAGAAACAUAAAUAAAAUAAAUUGAUAAAAAAAUAAUAUUUGUUAAAUAGGAUUUGAUGUGAAAUAUAUGCUCUCUAGAUCAAAGCUAACUUACUUAUUUGUAUCCUUGCGAGAUUAAAUAAUUUUAUAGAUUUGGAUUGAGUCGAGACAGAUCCUAGAAUUGGAAAUCUAAAAUUAUUUAAAUUUUAAAUAGAUUCGACCCCACUCCCCAAACCAACACUGCCGUCUGCCGGGCUAGCUCGGGCUCAGAAUUUUAGGCAGGAGAUUCCCACGAUAAGGCUUCGCCCUCCACGGUCGGUAUAUCUAUAUUCUAUACUACAGUGCAUACCGAACGCGUCCUUCGCUCUCUCCUCGUCCCCGUUGCGCGCGCUUGAGAAACCCUAGAUCUCUUCGCAGCGAUCGAAACCCCGAUCAAUCCCCAAGGUGCGCUGCUCUCAUCAUCUGAGCUUCGAGGGUUUACUUAGCCGACUCGAUUACGCUAGAUUUUGUUGGAGAUAAUGAUCUUUUUUUAUCGUUCCGAGCUCACGUGAUUUAGCCAGAAACCAUAAAAUUCGUCGGAGGUUUUUACAAGGACGUCUUUUCUUUUGUUUAUGGAGGUCUACGGAUCCAAACUUUCUCCUCUUUUUGGGAUUUAUGAUAUAUUUUUGCUUUUUGUCUUGCUUCUUGGGUUUCUAGAAUCGGAUGAGAAGAUGGGAUCGUCUCAGAAGAAGAUCCCUUUCCACAGACACAGGGAAGUGGAGGAGGCCAGGAAGAAGGUAAGAAAAGCUCGGUCCCCUCUGUUUUCUUGAUUUCGAACUCCGGGCUGAACUAUGUGAUUAAUUAUAUAUUUAAAAAAAUUUGCAUGGUGGAAUUUCAAGAGGGAGGACGAUGAAGCUGCUCGUGUCUAUGCCGAGUUUGUUGAGUCUUUUAAGGCCGACAGCACUCUUGGGUCAAAGGCUUUUGUUAGAGGAGGAGUUAUCGAUCCAAAUGAGAAGCUGAAGGCGGAUUCAGAAGGUUGGUGUUACGCAGUGAUGAUCACACUCGUUUAUUUACUUUGACCUCUAACUUUUAAUUUCUUGCAAUGGAUGCAUGAAUGUUCUUUUUUGUUACAUGAGCGCAUUAAUAAGAAGAUGGGCCUUUUUAUUCAUUCGGCAAUGACAGGUGGAAAGUCCAAAGAUGGGGCAUCUGUUCCAAAGAAGGGAAGUAGGUAAACAAAUGUAUUUUGAUUCUUAAGAGAGGAAUCUUGGUGGUAGCCAUAUUCCGUGCUUAGAAUAGAGAACAGUGCCAUUUCAAUUGAUCAGACUACAAUGCAUUUAUUAACUGCUUGUCACUUUUGAUGUAGGAAGAUAAUACUAUGGAAUAAAGUUUUUCUUGUAUCUAUUUCAAUACCUUAUAAAAUAUACAUCUCUGUACAUGCAUAUAAUCUGUUGUUUAGAUAUCAAUGCAUUUUACUAUGUGAAACCACCUUAUCCUUAUUGCAGAAACUUUCUAGCUUAGCAAAACCCUUGCUUCCCUGCUGCAUGAUCUUAAAAUAUGCAUGUGAUAAAAUAUGUUUAUAUACUUGGUAAUUUACAGAUUAGCUUUACUUCCAGUUUCUUGUUGGCCAAAUUUGCGAUUAAGACUCGGUCAUUGUUUCCAUAAUGAGUUGACUGUAAAUGGGGAGCUGGUUGUAAAACUUUUUGCAAAUCUCAUAGAGUCACGAAUAAAAUUCCAUAUUGAAGAAAUAAAGCUUGUUAGUUUCAGGUCAAAGUAUGCGUACAUAUGUCCACACAAAGAUAACAUGGGUGUUGGUGGAGAUGUUUAUAGGAAGGGAAUGAAAUGGGAGUUCACAAUUUUUUUAAGUAGUGUGCUUACUUCAUCCAACAAUUAGUUGAAAAUGGUAAAUUUUAAAUUUGGGAUUGCACUCGCUUCUUGUUCAGAUGUACCAGUCUGAUGAUAAUUUGUUUGCUCCAUUGUGCAAAUCUGCAUCUUUAGAUGCAACCUUUUCUUUUCCACUUCAAUUCUAUUCUAUGAGCAAUUUACCAAUGUAACUCAUGCUCACCUCUCCAAGUCUUUGAUUUUCUCAAGUUUCUUUUAGCGAUGUUCGCUUAUACUUUGAUUUCAUGUUUUUGAGAUCUUUUUUUUUUAGAUGCACAUCUAAGGCAUUUUUAUGUUUAUUUGAGCAUAGAAUAGUGAAUAGUCAAAUCUUGGCAUUGGUAAGAGUGUAACUGGGCAAAGGAUGCCCUUCUCUCUGAACCCCUAAAUUCUUCAAUGCUAUUAUUUGCUGCCAUUCAUUACCUUACAAAGUUGUCUUAUUUCCUAAUUUCUUUCAUUUUCAAGCUAAUUUGAGAUGAUAUGUGUGCCUAGGAGCGUGAAAAAUUCAGCUUCUGUAUUUGCUACAUAAUACCACUAUUCCUCAAAUACCUGAUUUGAUAUAUCAGCACUCUGUUUCUAUAUAUCUAUAUUGGUUCACAAUGAACUACUUGAACAAAUUGAACUUGACUAUGUGAAAGCACUUGUAAGUUCUUAGAUGAUCAUGUGGCAUAUGCCUGAUGUGACAAGCCUUUUCCUUUCUUUUUACUUUCAAAAACUCUUGGAAACUCACAACUUUUAAUAUAUGAGAGGCCAAUAACUAUGUAGUGGAUCAACCCAUUCUCCUUUGAAUUUAAGUAUGGAUCAAGUGUUGAUCAUGUUUAUGGUUUUCAAGUAUGGAUCGAUAUUAAUUUAGUCUGGCCAAUGAGGGCAUCAAUGUGGGAAGUAGCAGAGGAAUGAGUGGGAAAGGAUGAUGAGAGCAUAUGAUGGCUGGAUGCAGGCCAGUGCUGCAGAAUUUUUAGGUAGAAGGCGACACAAUGAGCCAAGAAGUUGAUGAUAGGAAGAAACUAAAGAUUUUUUUAAUACUUUAUAAAAAUGUAGAAUUAUAGGAAUAAAAUUGUGUAAGUUAUAUUAGAUGCAGUGAGCAUGCUAUAGAAAUCAUCAGUUUCUUGUUGGAUUUUGUAUCUUUUUACCAAAACCAGAAUUGGAGCUAUAUGGCACAUGAAAAUAUGGAUGAACACUUUGCUCUGAAUUGUCUUGGUUGCUUCUGCAAAGUGCGCUAUCAUUUAGUUCUUUUUUUCCCCAUUUUGGAGUGGCAGGGGACUUGGUUUUGAGUGUUGGACACUUUAAGCAAGGUUUCAUUAAUUUUAAUAUCACUUUAUCAUGAUCAGUUAUCAAUUUUAAAUAUUAUAAAACAUCUUAAGCAAGCUGAAAUGAAUGUAAUGAAUAACUCGAGAAACUUGUAGACUCAUGGUUAUUCUAUUAGUUUGUUUGUUAAUAAUGUAUUAUCUCCCUCCCUCGCUCCCUCCCCCUCUAUAUAUCUCUCUGCGUCUCUCUCCCCCCAUCCCCUUCCACUUUUUAGUUUCUCCCUUUUGGGAAAGCAUCAAAACAAUGAGUUAUAUAUGCAUGUACGCAUGCAUGUCGUGUUGAUGUGCCUAGAACACUGGAGGCUCCCGUAUCCAGCAUUUUUGGACAUUGAGACACUUGGCAUAUGUCCAUGCAACAUUGGGCAAAUGGUGGUGUGUCUAUUGUGGCCUGUCAAGUGUCUUUAAUUUCUAAAUGGCCCUCAGCAUUUUGAUGCUCACGCACACAUUUAUUGAUAGCUACCAUGACUUGAAUUGUUGAGUUGGUCUAUAGCUAAAGAGCUUAAAAACAUGUAGAGCAAUAUAUGGAGGAAGUCCAUUCCUUUGUCACUUAACACAGCGAUCAUUAAUUCUAUUCUCACUUGAGGAGAAUCUGCCUUUUAAUCUUUUUUUUUUGUGAAGUUGAACUAGUUGAGAGUUAAGGGUUAAAGUUCCCAUCAGUGCCAUCUUGUGUCUACAAUACAUACUAUGCCAGGAAGUUAUUGCUUGAUGCAUGGGUGUGUACCAUUGCACCAUACCUGCCAGUUCAUGUUGAUGCAUAUUGCUUUGAUAUGUCUCAUUAUUGGGUGACAUCUAGUUAGACAGGGUAUGUCAUGUCCUAUGUGUAGAUAGGGUCUUAAAGUGCUUACAAGAAAGGCAAAAAACCAAUGUGGAAGAUUUCAAAAAUCAUCGAGAAUGGAAACAAGACCUUCCAAAAUUCAUCAUAUGUUGUAUCAAGUGUUAAAAAAUAAGGUAAGUGGAUACGAGCUUUCUAGUACUAUCAAUUUGUCAGUUUCCCAUGAUAUAUACGGCACUUACAAAUGCUGCUGAUGAGCCAACUUGGUUAUAUAUCACCCUGUGGUUUUUUAUCAACAAAUGUUGGCCUAGUUGUGUUGAUAAUGUAUAAAUAGUUGCAUAAAGGUAGUUUACAUGAUAAAUUAAUUGAAAUUAUAGAAUGCUCAUGUUAAACCACAAUCAAUGAUGAUAUGUAUAAUGAUUGCUGAUCCUAUGUCGCGAUAAUUUUUUCAAAAGCUAUGUUUAUAUGUUUUAACCAGUAUGAGUGUAUGACGUAUUUAGUACUAGUCUAUAUUUUGAAAAAGUUGGAUAAAGUAGUUUAUUUUAACAUGUCAGAACUUGAGUCUUUUCAUUGACAUUCUGUGCCAUUAUCAGCAAAAUACACAAAGUGCCAAGCCCUUACCGGAACAAACAAUAUGUUACUCCUUGAUGAAGCGUUACUUAGACUAAAUAUUUCAUAAAUCGGCUUUUAACUUUGAAUGUAAACAUUGUAAUAAUUGCUCAACUAUGUGCACAUUUUCUUUCCUGCAGUUCAUGCUUGUCCAAGUCCAAGAUAGUCGCUCAAAACCGUUGUUAUAAGGACUACUCAAUUUUGAUGUACAAUGUUCUUUGUUUCUUUAAAUAAUAUUUUGCUAACAAUAGUUAAUAAAAGAAGGCUUUUUGUUUGUUUUUAAUAUAAUUUGAGAGAAAGGGAGGGAGACCUGCUCGCACUAUAAUUGCGUUUGGUCAAAUACUUGGGGAUGCAGUAUCAAGACUUGAACCUAGAACCUUUGGUUGCUAAAUUGAGGGGGCGACCACUCGGUAAAGCCCCAUUCUGUUUGUAGGGGAAAGUUGUUGAUGGCGAUGAUGAUAACUCGCUAAUUGAUUGCCUUUUUUUGGUUUUACUUGAUGAUGUUAUGCAAUGGAAGUUAAAGGUGGCAAUGGAAAGCAGAGUGGACUGUAUCUUGUUUAAUGUAGUAGGACAAGAAAUUCAUGUGCCUACAUAAUGUAUGGUAUGAUUAGUGGUACUCAAAGCUGCUAAUUUCAUUGAGGUUAAAAAAAUGAUGAUGACAGGUUAUUCUUGUUUCAAUUCUUUUUGCAUAUUUGGAGAUUUAGGCUAGAACACUAAAACCUAUCAACAUGGGCCCUGUUACAGCAAUAGUACGAAUCAAAUGCACUAGAAAUCUUUGAGAUAGAUGCAUUAUCAUGCUAAUAAAGGAGCCACUUAGUAUCAGGCUGGAGAAUCAGGAACACCCUUCAACUUUCAUUAAGUGCAAUGGGGCAAGUGCCUCGAAAUAGUGGGUCCAUGUGGGCAUCCCUAUUUACUAAACCUAGGUUGAGAACUUAUGCUGUAAUUAGAAAGCAAGUUUGGAAAUUUCCCGAAAAGCUAAUUAUAGGUUCUUCUCUCCAUCGGAACAAUAGGGCCGUUAUGCGUUUAAAAUCUAUUUGGUUUAAAUGUCAAGUUUUCUUUAACAAAACUUGCAUAUGUUUUCUUUUAUUGAGAAAGGUGCAUCAUCCAUUGACCAUUCAUAGUUAUAGUGUUUUUGGUAGUUAAGAUGUGCUUUUCCACGUUCUUCUUUAUAAGCUCACUUAUUAGAGAUGAGGCAACUUAUGCUUUUCACAUGCAGUUAAUAGUAUGUAUACCAGUUGGUUAAAAUAAGAUCAGAACUACUUAUGAAACACCAAUCUACCCAUUUCUUGCUAAAGUCAAAGAUAGCUGGACAUUCCUUUGAUCUUGCCCUUCUUGUAAUGUUGUGAUUGGCUGUUUUUGUUUCAAGACAUUCAAAUGUAAUAUUUGGAAAUCAAGUGUAAACUAGUACGACUAAAUUCUAAUAACAAUCUUAUGGGCUAUUGAGACAGUCAUGCAGUUUAAAUGGCGGGAUAUCUUGCUUAGAGUACUAAGAAAUAACUUAUCUAUGCUGAUUAUUGUUCAUUAUCCUUACUUGCGACACACAUGCUGCCUAUUUUUCUAAUAGCAUUUGAUUGCUCAUUUUGCUUCCUUAUAUUAAAUUAGAGUCAGGGGUGGCAAUGGGUUGGGUUUGGUGGGUUCGGGUUGGUUUAAGGUAUGGGUAUUCUAGAAAAAUUGUCAACCCAAACCCCUCUUGUUUAAGCAAGUGGGUCAAAAACUCAAACCUGAACCUGACAUACUUAUUAAAUAGGUAAGACGACCCAGCACAUGUAACUUGUUUAACAAGCGAGCCAAGUCAGGGUUAGGUUGACAUGGGUUGAAAAAAACUUAUAGAAGANNNNNNNNNNNNNNNNNNNNNNNNNNNNNNNNNNNNNNNNNNNNNNNNNNNNNNNNNNNNNNNNNNNNNNNNNNNNNNNNNNNNNNNNNNNNNNNNNNNNNNNNNNNNNNNNNNNNNNNNNNNNNNNNNNNNNNNNNNNNNNNNNNNNNNNNNNNNNNNNNNNNNNNNNNNNNNNNNNNNNNNNNNNNNNNNNNNNNNNNNNNNNNNNNNNNNNNNNNNNNNNNNNNNNNNNNNNNNNNNNNNNNNNNNNNNNNNNNNNNNNNNNNNNNNNNNNNNNNNNNNNNNNNNNNNNNNNNNNNNNNNNNNNNNNNNNNNNNNNNNNNNNNNNNNNNNNNNNNNNNNNNNNNNNNNNNNNNNNNNNNNNNNNNNNNNNNNNNNNNNNNNNNNNNNNNNNNNNNNNNNNNNNNNNNNNNNNNNNNNNNNNNNNNNNNNNNNNNNNNNNNNNNNNNNNNNNNNNNNNNNNNNNNNNNNNNNNNNNNNNNNNNNNNNNNNNNNNNNNNNNNNNNNNNNNNNNNNNNNNNNNNNNNNNNNNNNNNNNNNNNNNNNNNNNNNNNNNNNNNNNNNNNNNNNNNNNNNNNNNNNNNNNNNNNNNNNNNNNNNNNNNNNNNNNNNNNNNNNNNNNNNNNNNNNNNNNNNNNNNNNNNNNNNNNNNNNNNNNNNNNNNNNNNNNNNNNNNNNNNNNNNNNNNNNNNNNNNNNNNNNNNNNNNNNNNNNNNNNNNNNNNNNNNNNNNNNNNNNNNNNNNNNNNNNNNNNNNNNNNNNNNNNNNNNNNNNNNNNNNNNNNNNNNNNNNNNNNNNNNNNNNNNNNNNNNNNNNNNNNNNNNNNNNNNNNNNNNNNNNNNNNNNNNNNNNNNNNNNNNNNNNNNNNNNNNNNNNNNNNNNNNNNNNNNNNNNNNNNNNNNNNNNNNNNNNNNNNNNNNNNNNNNNNNNNNNNNNNNNNNNNNNNNNNNNNNNNNNNNNNNNNNNNNNNNNNNNNNNNNNNNNNNNNNNNNNNNNNNNNNNNNNNNNNNNNNNNNNNNNNNNNNNNNNNNNNNNNNNNNNNNNNNNNNNNNNNNNNNNNNNNNNNNNNNNNNNNNNNNNNNNNNNNNNNNNNNNNNNNNNNNNNNNNNNNNNNNNNNNNNNNNNNNNNNNNNNNNNNNNNNNNNNNNNNNNNNNNNNNNNNNNNNNNNNNNNNNNNNNNNNNNNNNNNNNNNNNNNUAUAUAUAUAUAUAUAUAUAUAUAUAUAUAUAUAUAUAUGAUUUCCAUUCAUGCUCUUGAAAUUUUUCUUAAUAACAUUGCUCAUUUUUUCAGGUAUGUCCCAUCUUUCUUGCCACCAGCAUCUCAAGGAAGAGAUGCUGAGAAAAAGGUUAGCAUGAGGUGUUAUCAUCCUUGUUUCUGUUUGCAGUAUCAGUUCAAGAAACACUGCUUUUUUUGUUCUUUGAUACUUACAGUGCUACAUUGACCUCUCAUCUUGUAUAACAAUAUAUACUUUUUAAAUAUGAAGGGUGUUUCAAUGUAUAUUUUCCUGUUGUUUUGUUUCAUUUUAUCAAAAUCAUAUUUGCCAUGACAAUUUCAGUUGAAAAGUGGUCCGGAGAACUAUGCUUUUAAGAUUUUUUUUUUUGUCUAUUUUGGAGCAUAAUUUGGUCAUCUAUGGUUGAUUUGGUAUAUGCUCAAGUUUUAGAUAUUCAUAUCAGCAUCUUGAUCCUGCCAUGAUCUGAUUUUUAUGGUCUUCCCCAUUACUCUUUGUUACUUUGUCAUCUGUGGUUAGCAAUUUGCACAGCACCAUGAUUGAAAUGCCUGUGGAGUAGUGUGAUGGGCAUGGGUAUAUUGCUUGUUGCAUGCUUUGAGAAUUUAACUAUAUCUGGAAAUUAGUGGAAGGACUUAUGGGCAGGUUUGGCUGGUCUUUUAGCUGUCUGAAUUGGCAGAAACUGCUUCACUGUUUGAAAUUUCAAAAACGUUUUCCUGCCUUUUGUUGGUCCCUUUUCUCCUGGACAUAACACAGGAAACUACAUUAGUAUUUAGCAUCUGCUAGUAGAUUAAAUACAUUAGUUGGUCUUUCACCAAAUGCUAUAUAUUUGUCUGUUUAUUUUGAUAUCCUUUUGGGCUUUAUUUUCUAUUCUAAAAAUACUGUUCAAAUGGAGCAGUAAAUUGACAUGUUUUUUCCGAGAUAUUAAGUUUCUUUGCAAUCCUAUUUAAGUUUGGAGGUAUCUUUCCUGUCAAGUGUGCGAAAAGUCUAACACAAGUUAUUGCGUCACACUCCCCCCGGUAAAUAUAGUUUUCAUGAAAUCACAUGUGGCCCUUAGUUAUUAUAAAAAUUCUCUCUUACUUUCAAAGAGACUUUCACUUAAACAUGUAAUUGUGAAAGUGUUAAGGAUCAGACUCUUAUUAUUUGAACACAACCUUUCCUAUUUGUGGCUUGUUUAAAGAUUCAACCUAAAUUAAGAGCGGCAAUAGUAAAACUUAUACUUUAUUCCAGAUAGUUGAUACAACAUAUGAGCUAUAUAGUUUUCUAUUUGUCUAACAAUAACAAAAGAAAUUAUAAACCUCAAAAUAUAUAAUAAAUGGGGCAACCAAGGUUCACCGUCUUGGUAUUGGACCUUGUACAAGUACCAUCCUAUUAUAGUGUUGGUACAUGGUGCGGUACGAGACGGCAAGACGUAUCGAGUAUCGGUAUACAACGAGGCUGCGUAUUGAUUUAGUACCAGUAUGGUAUGGUACGAUAUCGAUUGGUAUGGCAAACCUUGGGGGCAACAAAGUGCUUGAUAUGCUGGAUAGUUGGUGAUAACAAUUAAUACGCUUAUUAGCUCUUCUAGACAUGUAUUUCUUAUCCUAUUUCACAUUAUGUAAUAUUAAUAUAUUAACCAUAGGUUUCAAACUAUAUGUUUAGUUCUUUCAUUUGCUGACUGAUUCAUUAUCCAGCUGAAUGACGCAUGCACAUGCACAGGUACACAGCCAGUUGGCUGGAUUUCAAGUCGGAUCCUGUCAGUGAAAUCGGAAAAGGGACCCAACACUGAUGAUUCAAGCCUUUGAAUGUGAUCUACUAUCUCUAAGCUAUUUAUAGACUAAAAAUCAUGUGAUUUGGAGACACCUGGUCUAUGCAUCAAGUGGUCAAAAAUAGACAAUUUAAAUAACAUGAUACAAUGUCUAUUUUUUAGCUCUUGAUGCAGAGGCCAAAGGUCUCCAAGUCACAUUAUUUUUGGUCAAUAAUAGUUUAGAGGUAUUUCAACGGCUUGGAUCAGUCGUGUUCGACUCCUGUCUUAUGAUUUCACUUGAUUGAAUCGGACUUGAAACUUGCCCCCCCCCCCCCCCCCCACACACACACACUCUCUCUCUCUCUCUGUGUGUGUGUGUGUGUGUGAUAUAUGUAUGUAUGUNNNNNNNNNNNNNNNNNNNNCACACACACUCUCUCUCUCUCUCUGUGUGUGUGUGUGUGUGUGAUAUAUGUAUGUAUGUCUAUAUGUUUGUUUAACAUAAGUGUGCUUAUACUCUUCCUUGUUUUAUUUGGAAGUUUACAAAAUGCUUUUGGGGGCUUUGCAUGCUAUUAUCUUUGAAGCAAUUUGAUUUUACUUGCAGAAGGAAGAGGAGAAGCCAAGGGAGAAGGAGAAAGGGAAGCAACGAGCCAUCGAUAAAUUUUUGGAGGAGCUGAAGUUUGAACAAGAAUUAAGGGAUAAGCGUAAUCAAGAACGCGAACAGUGGCGAGAAGGUCGCCACAAUGAUAAUAAAGCUGUAAGCAGUCGUGUAUCUUAAUAUUUUUGUGAAAUGCAGAAGCAGGUCAGUAAGAAUUUAUAGUAUGAUAAAGUAGAAACUAGUGUAUUAGAACCAGCAGAUGGAAAUAUUGAGGGUUCAAUAAAAAGAGAAAAAAAUAAUAUACGUCAAAAAGAAAUCUGUAUAGACUAAGGAACCUGAAUAACAACUCUUGAAUAAAACUCAUGUGAACUUGAUGACCAUCCGCUGCAUCAACUAUGAUUAUUUCAUAUCUUCCUUUUUCUUUUUGUACUAUUCUGCUCAUUGUACCUGCAGAUGUAGCAUUGUAGACCAUAUUGUUACUCUUGCUCCCAUCAGGAAAAAUCUGACUUUUCCUCCGUUCCCACCUACAUAUAUGGAAUAUUUUAAGAAGUGAACACCUUUCUUUGUAGCAGGGGUGGAGGAAUAAUGGGAAAGGCGAUUUCAUUGCAUUUCUGACUGGGAAUGGGACCUAUCUUCAGAAUAUUUCUAUUAAUGAGAUAAUUAGUCAUAUAUUUCUGUUAGAAAAAAUCUACCAUAAAAAUAGAAUUUUAUUAAUUCUAUUUGGUCAUCUCUAGUUCUAUAAACAAUAUUAGAUAUAACUAAUAUAACUUGUGAUAUAGAUAUAUACUUAUAGAACCAUGAACUAUAUAGUUCAUAUUAAAUUAAUAUGGCCCCUUUGAUUUCUAUGUUGCCUUGCACCCUUUGGGCCUAUAUCAUUUACACUAGCUUUAAGAUGUAACAUUUUGUUAAUUAAUACAAUUGCAGUAAGACGUUGGGUCUACAAAGUUACCUACGGGUGACAAUGUAUUGGGUGUGGUCAGGUUUAAGUCGUGUUGACAUCCACUAAUAAGCUAAACCAGUAAUCACUCUGACCUGCCCAACCCACCAGUGGGUUGUAAGGACUAACCUGAACCUGCUAGCUGGUUAGCGACAGUGAUCAGAUCCUACACACCUACCUGAAUAAAUUAGGAGAUGAGGAGAGGAGUGGAGAGGGUGAAAAAGAGUAGCAAGGAUGGUUGAUGAUGCAUUGAUGUGGUUCAUUAAUGGCUGCUGGUGCAGCACCAAGGUUUGAAUGGUGGUUGGCACUGGGCAAUGGCGGGUAGAGGUGAAGGGGUUGGAUGAUAGUGUUGAAGUGGGAUUGUUGUAGGGCUGACUUUGAUGUAGGGAGAGGAGAAGAGAGGAAGAAAAGACAGGGAAAACGACCAGCAGUGCAGUGUAAGCAUGCUUGAAUGAUUGUUGCGGGGCUGCUGUAGGGCUUGAUGGUGGUGGAAUUGUGGGGUAUUAGUAGCUGGGUUGAGCCAAAAUGGAAGGUUAUUGGCUGGAUCAACAUGAAGAUGAGAGAGAAGAGAUGAAAGGGGAAGAGAAGAAAGUGGUGGGUGGCAGUGAAGAGGAGAGAUGGGGAGGGGAGGGUAAAGAUUACAUGAGGGUGAGAGUUCAGGUUAUGUUUGAUGGUUGGUCGUGAUUCCAUUUAACCUAGACCUUCUAUUCAUUAUUUAGGCUUUUUGUAAGUGCACUCCAUUUGUGGUUGGUGCCCAUCUCUUAUUAUCCCUCUAAAACAAUAAUAGAACUGAGAGUUCAUAUUUAUAGUAGGAGCAUUUACAAUGCUGAGUGUUUCAUCUCAAAUUCAAACCCAGGCCAACUUGCUGGCAGGUCAAGCUUGUCCAACUCAUAUAUGAUCCUAAUGGUUGGGUUGGAUGGGUUCUAUGUAUAGGCAGGUUGACAGGUGAGUUUGUAUUUAUUUAUUGGAUCCAUUCAAGGCUCUACUAGAUAGCCUUUAACCCAUUUCAACCUAAACCGGAAUGCUUAAAUCUCUUUUCCAAGCUAACCACAUCGAGCCAUCUCAGACUAGUUGACUUGAGAUUAUGCCUUUUAGGUGCUGUUCUGUCUAUGUGAAUGAAUAUGUACCAUCCGAACUUUAGUUAAGAUCCCCAUGAAUGGUGGCGAUUUAUAGAAGGGGUACAUGAACUGCCCUAUUGAAAGUGGUUGGAUACGAGGAAGGUGAUGAAAAAGGGAAUAUUGUCUACUAGCAGUAAGCACUGUGAUUAUCAAUGUAACCUGGAAUCAUAGUGUCAAAGCAUCCUAAGUGCUGGACAUGGCAACCUCCAAAAGUCUGAGCAUGGGACACGAUAUAUGCACACACACACACACACACAC